This 50336-nucleotide long non-coding RNA is filed under the name Linum usitatissimum (flax). RNAcentral's name for it is "long non-coding RNA (LUSI_LNC007731)". Lineage: Eukaryota; Viridiplantae; Streptophyta; Magnoliopsida; Malpighiales; Linaceae. The record is from RNAcentral.
CUUUUUUUUUUGUUUAAGAAAGUACAAAUCUGUACCUUUUCCCUUAUCUCCCUCUUUAUUAUUUUUUAUAAUUAUAUAAUGCGAGUUCCGAUCUGGAUCAACGAAAUGGGUUCUUUGAUCGGAUCCAACAAAAUCUGAGUCGUUGAUUCAUUAACAUUAGAUAUAAUGAUUGAGAUGUAAGGGGGCAAAAUGGGAAUUCAUCACUCUCUCUUGCCUAGAUCUCUGCCACCGCCGGCCGCCAUACAGAUGGUACGAAGUCAUCGGACCUCUACCGUGCUGCCGAACUCCAUACAAGACUUUUAUACACUUUGUAUGGUUGCUUUGUACGUGUAAUACAGUAGAGUGUAUAUACAAGCUAAGUGUGUAUUUACUCAACAUCUACCACAUGGAACAAUCUCCUCUGGACCUCCGAUCUUAGUUUGGAGUUUAGAUAGUAAUGUUGGUUUCACUCUUAACAGCUUCAUGAGAGUCCUUAUACACAAGAAAUUUGUUUUUGGCAACGUGACAUCUCCAACUCAUCUAAUUUGGUUGGCAGCGUAUAGUCAGUAUACUAAUGAAGUUUGGACGGAAAAUUUAACAGAAGAGGUCAUUUGAAAAAAUCGUUAUAAUAAAGGGGUGCGAAUGUGUAUUAAUCAUAGGUGAAUUGAAAGGUGUAGAUUUCUCCUUGAUAUCCUAAAAUGCUUUGAUGUUGUUGACUGGAAUACUGACUCAAAUAAACAAUUAAGAAUGGUAUAGUUAAGUCCACUUAGCUUAGUGAUCCCUAUGAUACUUAAAAAAAAGACUAAUAAUGAAUGUAAUUAAAAAUCCAGAGUCAGUUGCCAAUACGUCUCUUGUCAUUUUGUUUUGAAGUGCUCUCACAUGGUACUGUCUUUCUGCAACUUUAUUAAUACGUUGGUAAACAGAUCAAACACUUUAAAAUACUGCUGAUCAUAUUUUCAGUUAAAAAAUUAGAGAGGACUAAGUCUUGGUUAAUGUUUUUGAUGCAGUUUUAAUUACUAUUACUUAAAUGGCUAGGAGGAGCCUAUCUUUUUUUUUUUAAAGACUCCAAACUGGGAAUUGUUCUGGGUUAACAAAUGAGACCAAUUUGUUAGUUAUUUGUCGUUAAGACGUCUCUUUUAAAAUAUGGUUUGUUUUGUUUGGACGAUGUGCAUGUAGUUUUUUUAAUGGAUAGAUUUUUUACGGAGAUAAGAAGAUAGUAUAUAAAAAAAUAAAAAGUCUUAAUCAACCCAUAUAGUGAGGACUAACAGAUAGUGAGGACUACCGGCAAUAUUCUGGAGAAAUAUCUAAGGGUCAUGCGAACCACGCAAUGGGCGACCCCAAUACCUGACUUCUGGAAUGUCUGUAGAAGGUUCUUUGAUAGGGAAAUAACGAUUUGACUCUUGAAAGAUAGAGUUUUUAGGUUGCCAAGCUUGAAUGAUCGACGUUGAUGAAGAUCGUCAUUGCCACUGUGCAAUAAUGAUCAAUAACUAUCCUUUUAAAUAGUUACGGUAGCUCUUUGUGCGUCCAUUGAUUAAUUCAUGAUAAGAAUCAUAAAUACAAAAUUUACAAAGUAAGACGAUUAAUAAGAAAAAUGAAAGAUAGAAGAGCAUGCAAGAUUAGAAGCAUACAAUCUUACUAUAUAUUAAAGCUAUUGGAAAAACUACAAUUGUCAUGUAAGCAUUUCCUUAAAAUCCAUCCAUACACGUCAGAUAGUAUAAUACGGCAAUGUUUCUUAUGAAAAAAUGAAAAUUUGGACGUUUGAACGUCUCCCUUGACUCUAUCAUAUUUCCAAAUCCUUUGUACAAUUGCACUCCUUUAAUUUGUACUUAAAUGACGCAAUGUAUAUAAUGUAUAUAAUGUAUACCCAUGGAGUGGAUAUUAUCAAAUCUGUCCCUAUCAGUUACCUGUUUUAAACGAGUAUCAGGUUUGUUUUUGCUCGUUAAUUUUUCAUAUCGACUGGGUUUUAUUCACCCAAAUUGGACGGGUUUUGGGUGGGCAUCAGUUUUUGAAUUACAAUUGCCAAACCUUCCUUAUACAGUUAGCACUUCGAAAAAUUUCUAUUUUUGCUAUUAACCACGACCAAAUAUAUCAUAAUUAAUCAACCCAAAAUUAUCCGGACUAACCAAAUUGGCUUUGACAAUGGGUCAGUUGUGAGUGGGUAGGAUUAGAAUCAUUAGCCGAUCAAAUAUUUCUCAAACUCUAGCCACAUUGUCUUCGACUGAAUCUAACAGGAGGGGGGAAUCCUCGUACGCAUCUUUUGUCCACAUGCAUGACGCGCAUAAUGGAAGACAAGAUCGUACACACGGUCAUUACACGGUUACUACACGUGAACCGAAGCCGCUCCAACUCGAGCCUAUACAGUUGGAUUAAAGCCUUUCUUUUCUCCGGAAAAGGUGUUUGACCGUUACAUUUAAGGUUUGGAAUCGGGUCAAGUUUGAUAGGGUUUAGCCCAGCUUGGUCAAACCUGAUUUGACUGACGUUGCAUAAUCAUUGUAGAUACAUUCCUAGUUAGAGUGGAUUUAAAUCUAAACAAUCUUCCAUUUGAAUUUUAAUUCAUAUUAUUUGUCAUCUACUUUUAUUUACUAUUGAUUAUUCGGUAUACAUACAUUCGUUAUCUGAUAAUAAAUAUUAUCAUUUCCAAACAUAUUUUUUAUUUUUUCUUCACAUCUCCGUUGAGUAAGAGAGUUAGAAAGAUUAUAGAGAAAAAGAAUCUCAGUAGAACUUUUUAUUUAAUUAUUACUUGAUUUAUACAUGUUAGUAAGUUGAGCUGAAAUUUAAACUCGUUCCUUACGUCUAAUCUCCAUUUUUUGGAAUAGACGCAUACAUAUCGUACAACUUGAGCACCUCCCGGAACAACACUUCUGGUAUGGGCACGAUCAUAUAAGUAACCCUUGCACAAAAUACGUUGACAUAUCCUUCCACACCUCCGUUAGAACUAGUAAUGAGAUAAGGUAAUUAGGAGCCUUAGUGACUUCAAGCUUUGAAACAUUGUUUUCUUCGCAUGUGUCACAACCUGAUAUAUAUAACCUCUUAUGCGUCGUCACAUUUCAGAUCAUGUAAAAAAGUAAUCCUGCACACGUUGACUAGUUGUAUUGAAUCUCUCAUGAGUUGCCCCAUGAACCUCUGGCUGCAGUUACAACAGGAAUCAAUGGAGUCGUUCAGGUAAAUUAAUUUCAGAAGAUAAUGGACUUGUUGAGUGAUAGGCCCAGAUAGGUCACAAAGUCCAACAUCAGAGCCCAACACAAGUAUAUCAAGUACAGAAAGCCGCGCGUCUGUUGGGCCGGGACGGAAAACCAAUCCAAGAUCUAAGCAAGUACUCCAAUCUAAUUAAUCCAAAAGAAUGAACGAGAUUAAUCAUGAAAGAAUAGUCCAUACGUUUGACCGUACGUUUAAUUUUACAUGGUUAGCAAAAUUAGUUCAUUGUGGGUUGAUUUUAUGUUUUGUGUCAGUCUUACUAAGCUAAAAUUUUCGGUAUUAAAAUAACACAUACUUUCGGAGAUUCGAAUAGAGAAGCAAAACAGUAUGAUGCAACAAAGAUAUAUGAAGAAACUCAUCGACAAACACCAUAUUUAGUAAUAUUAUCAAUACUAUAAAUUUUAGAGUUGUCGGUCGUCAAUUCAGGUAAACCGAUAAUUCUAUCACAGGACAACCUAAAUAAUUGCACAUUCAUAAACCACUAAAUUGGUAACCAACAUUGAUAUAUAACACCGAAAAAUCGAACCAAUCUCAUAAAAAUAAAUGUUAACAGAAAAAAGAUGUGGAUAGUAAAGUCUUACAUGGAAAAUGGGCAAGGGAGGAAGCUAGAGCCAAGGACAACUUCCCAGCCCAAUGGACGCAAAGCAUGGAAUUGUGGUUUGAGCGGCGGCAAGUCAUCCUUGGCUCAGACCUACUCCCCCAUCCCACCAUGAAAUCCAUUACCCCACUGAUCACUAGCUGUUAAUUAUAUAUGUGAUCUCCUCUUAAUUAGCUAAUUGGUUGGAAUGCAAUCUCUGCUUCUGUUAGCCCACUUCCAUUUAUAGCAGGAAAAAGGCAGUUGCAGCAGAGCAUAUAUUCUUAUUUCUUGCUUUUUCUUUUCAUCGAAUCUCAUAUCUAUACCCAGACCAAAUGCGUAGACUAGAUUUCAGAUGAUGUGGGGAGCAUGCAGAAUAUGUUCCAGUUUGAAAGGGAAAUGUGCGAUCUAAUCUAAUCCCCCCUUUUCUGUAUUUGUUUCCUUUUUCACUAGUAUUGAAAGAGUGGUCUAAAAUCCACGGUGCUUUCUUUCCCUUUUCUAGUUUUCUUUUUAUAUCCCCAUAAUAAUAAUAAUAAUAAUGUCAACGCCACGUUACACGCAUUGAUUCGUCCUCGGAAUAUUAUUAUCAAUCAAGAAGCGUAGAUUUCGUUUCGUUUGAGGGGUUGGUCUUUCAUUCCAUCUGCAUGCAUUUAUUUGUGUUGCAUACUUUAUAACCCGCCAGCCCAUACGUUCUAACUCUGGCCUUCUGAACAUUUGUUGGGCCCCCGACAAUUUAAUCAGAUAUCAUUAAUUAGGGUAAUCAGAUAUCAUUAAUAGCGAAUAUAAUUUGAGGUUUUGCCGUUGAGCCAUGCAACAUGAGCAACACAAACCCACCAAUGAGACAAUUAAUUAGAUUUAUAAAAUGUAUAGAAUUGAUAAACCUAAAGAGUAAUUAAGAUCAUCAUGCAAUCAAACUUCCUACAACUACGUACACCUCUGUCUCUCUAUCUCUAAUCUUCAACUGCUAAUAUAAUCUUCAGUAACAACUGAUGGAUGGAGUUGAAGCAUACUGUUUGUCCACAACCUCAAUCAGCUUGUUGGCUAUGGCGCUUGCAUACACUGAAGACCCUUCACAUAUCUGCAAGCAACCAACAGAAUUCUCAAUCGUUUUCCAGAAAUAACAAGCAACGGAUAUCAUUAGUUACUUGAUGGAACAAACAAACCUUGGUAUUGAAGAGGAAGCUGUAAUAGUCACCAACGUGCCCUCCAGCAACAUGGUGAAGAUCCAAAUGCAGCUCAUCAAGAACCUUGGAAACAAACAGCAAGCAAUUGAUCUUCUUCCUCUGAACCAAUUUGAUCGUCACCUCGUCUUCAAUAAUCCUCACAUCAAUCUCGGUAUCCUUGGACUUCCUCUGCAGCCAGGAGCUCCUCAGUGUCGACCCAUUACAGGAUUUGUCCAGCUGAUCCGUACCGUGUCCUCCACUGCCAUUUGAAUUCGCCGCUUUCAUCUCCGAACCCUCAUUCAUGGCGGCUCCUCCAUCAAUGUCGCCGUUCUGUUGAUGAUCAGUCUUGUUCCUCUUGCUCCUCCAUCUACUGCACCUCUUCUUCUCCACCAGCAAUUUCAGCUCCUCCACUGUCCCCAACAACUCCUUGAUGUACCCUAUCGCGUCUCCCACCACCGACGCCUUAUCGUUCUUUUCACGCAAAUUUUUUUGGGGACAAAUUAGGUCGUGAAAUUGGGAAAUCGAAAUUGAAAUACAGACAGAGAGAGAGAGAGUGAGAUGAAAUUGAACCUUGGUAGGAUUGGGGAUGAGGCUUCUGAGAGCGGAGAAUUUAUCGUUGACCUGUUGUCUCCUCUGCCGCUCGGUGGUCAAGGGUUUCGCCAUUCUUCCGGCAGCUCUUCCUUUGGCGAGACAAGCCAUGUCCCAAUUGAACUCCAGGACGCUACUGUCCAGCUGUUGAGACGACGAGCCGUCUCCGUCGGGGUAAAUCCCACCACCUCCUCCGCUGCUUCCUUCGCCGCCGUGGAUAUCAACGAGUCCUCCGCCUCCGAGCAGAGAAUUACCGCCGCCGUGGGAGGGGAGAUACUGGAAGAGCUCCCUGAACAGAGGCGGCUGAGGUGGGAGGUUGAGGUAGGAGAGCGGGUCGUAGUGUACGGAAGACGGCGACUGAGCUCCGUCAGAAAUCGGAAGGUCCCAGCUGCCGUAUCCUCCUCCUCCGCCGCCGCCGCCCAUGGGAGGUUUGGGGUUGUUGUUGUUGGCGAAUGAGAUUGAGGAAUUGGGAAGGAGAGAGGACAUAGGCAAGUUGAAGAGGUUGAGAUCGGGAGUGGAGGGAGGGUAAGGAGGCGGCAGUGGUGGAGGAUCGUUAAGCAUCAAAUUGAUGUUGUUGUUGUUGUUGUUGUCACCAUAACAACCCCCAGAGGCCAUUUCCCUGGCGGAGGCGGAAGAAGGGUCAUGAUCUUCAGGAUGAGGAUGGUUAAGGAGGUGGUGGUGGUGGUAAUUGGAAAGGUCAUCCAUGGUGUCGAGCUCCAAGGUGGUUUGGUUGUUUACAGAGGAGGCCGGCGGCGGGGGAGGAAGAGAGUGGUGGUCGACAUCGUCGGUGACGAAGCUAGUGUGAUCGAAGCAGCUCGCCGUUGCCUCCAUGUACAUAAUUUUCUCUGUUGGAUGAAAUUUGGAUGUGCAGACUGGAGAAAGGAGAAGAUGGCAGUGUCUCUAUGAUUUAUUUAUAUAAAGGAUGUGAUUCAUUUGGGAAAAUCGGAUUUAAUUUGUCCUUAAUGUUAAAGGCUUCCCAUCAAGUUCAAAAUUAGGAAACCACAAGCCAACUAUAAAUGUAUGGUAUUUUAAUUUAACGUGAAGAGCUGAAGAAAGGUUGUUACUGGGUGGUGGGGACCCUUUUUCUUGAGCUGUCGCUUUCCAUUUCUCACCAACUCGCUAAUUUUGCUUCUUUCUUUUUAUUCUCUCUGUAACCGUCUCCUCCCUCCUCAACUGAAUCAACAAUUCCAAGCCGCACAUAAUCAGUUUUUUAUUUUAUUUGGUGGAGAGCCAAUUUUAUCCGUCAGUUCGAACCAAAUUUAAGGCCGUUAGAUCAGACAUAAUAAAAUUUAAUGGUUCAAAUCAUUUAUUGGACUGUGCGCAUUUUUUACUAUAAACAACCGCAAAUUAAGUUGAGGGAAUGUUGGAGGGAAAAUAAAAUAAAAUUCGAGGGAAAUCAUCUUCUUUCUAUAAUUUUCUGUAACAUUAUCUUUCAUUCUUAAAUAUUCCCUAAUUUUAAUUUUAUCUUUAUCAUUCUUUAAAGAUUCAUCAAAAUAUAAUUCUGUUAUUUAUUUUAAUUUUUGAAUCUAAUAAAAUUUAUUUUGAUAUAUUUUAUUUAUUUUUUUCAUAAAAAAGUUCAAAAGUAUUAAUAUAGGUAUUAAGUACGGUUCAUGAGAUAUAAAAAAUUAGUGAUAAAUGAUGAUAAUGUUAUUUACCUCUUAUGNNNNNNNNNNNNNNNNNNNNNNNNNNNNNNNNNNNNNNNNNNNNNNNNNNNNNNNNNNNNNNNNNNNNNNNNNNNNNNNNNNNNNNNNNNNNNNNNNNNNNNNNNNNNNNNNNNNNNNNNNNNNNNNNNNNNNNNNNNNNNNNNNNNNNNNNNNNNNNNNNNNNNNNNNNNNNNNNNNNNNNNNNNNNNNNNNNNNNNNNNNNNNNNNNNNNNNNNNNNNNNNNNNNNNNNNNNNNNNNNNNNNNNNNNNNNNNNNNCUAAGACUAUGAUUAAUAAAAGAGGGAGAGUGUGAUAAAAAAUAAGAUAAAAUAGAAUUAAUUUCUUCUCUCACCAUUUUAGUUUUCCUCCCUAACCGUCUAACAAGAUUUAGUGCUUUGUUACAGUCCGAAAAAACCCACCUAACAUGCAAUAUAUUCCAAUCAUUAGAUUAAAAUUUUGACUAAUCUAACGGCUGACAAAUGUUCCACGUCAAAAGAUAAAAAGUGGUCUCAGCUGAAUAGAAAAUCCGGCACAUAACAUGAAAUAAAAAAAAUCUGGCUUCAUGGCUCCUCCAUAACCUGCCUGCAAACAUUCUUGAUAAAAAAGAAAACUCUGCAACCAUGUUGGGUUGAAAAGUUGAUAUGUUUAGCAUUAAUUAGUUCUUUAUAUAUGUACCUUCAGUAUUCAAUUACCAUAUCGGAUAUAGACUAUAUUAGGUUCGAGAAUAUAAUUUCGCGAUUACAUCUUUUUCAAACUUUCUUUUCGGGCGGAUGUUAAGAGUCGAAUUACAGUCUUCUCCUUAGUCAAUAGUCAUCCACACCAUCAUUUACCAAGCCAUCUUUUCACGGACCACAAGUAAACAGGUUUAUACAUUUGAACUACUAAUAGAAUGAGAUUUAUCUUUAUUGCAAUACAAGAUAAUAAGUGAAAAUAAACAUUACAACAAUAUUUUUAUUUAGAUAGAUAGAUGCUACCUGCUUACAAACCACAGGAUGGGAAUUACCCUUCAUUUUUACUUGCUUUUUUUGGUGAAUUUUAUUUAUACUUGCUCAAGUCUAUGCUUUGGUUUGGCGUAGCCGUAGAUGUGGACUGGACUGAACUCGUGCAUACACUGGACAGGAGUGAGAGGCCGACUAUUCUUGAAAUUGGGCCUAUAUAUUCCAGAUGCUGCAUGGGCACAUGGCCCAUGCUAUGGCCAAGUGAGUAUUUUUUAUGCCGGGCUUGGGGAAAUCAAAUUAUUGUUUGGAUGUUGCUACUUGCUACUAACUAGCAUCGUAGGUGUGACCGUGUAGAUAGUUAUUUUAUCGAUUGACCGUUAAAUAUUUAACACUGUGAUAGGAUUUUUUUUUAUAGAUAGCUUUUAAUAUAAAAAAUCAAAAUAGUAAACAUAAUAAAAAUUAGACAUCGAUUCAACAUGUGAAAUUGAUUUCCACACAGUUUAGGAAAAUGGGAGAUAUGAAAGAGCUUGCCGAGCCACAGAGUGGGCUGCCCCAUUAACAUAUCGUCGUACACAUGCAUCUGUAUUCAAGGACUAGCUGCCUGGUAGGCGAGAAUCUAUGAGAUGAUAGCAACGUCAGCCACGCACCGAGUAUACCUCUGGGAAAGUUGUGACUGCACCAGCUCUGCAUCACUUUCAAUGUUCACUUUCUAAUAGUCAUGUUAGAAUUACCACUGCACAUUUGUUUCUUCAAUCCGCAAGGAAAUUUUUUGCUAAAUUCAUUUUCAAAAAUGAAAAAAAACACAUGCAUCAUGUAUAGGCAGGAGCUCCAAAGCAUAGGGUAUCAAUGAGUUAUGGAUAUGUCCAUCUGAAAUUCUGUAAUAAAACCCCACUCGCAUCACGAAUCACCAAUCCUACCACCAACAUAAAACGAGAAAUAUUGCAUGCAUAUAUAUGAUUAUUAAACCGAGAAAGAUUUGUUACCAUCAAAUUUUUAUUAGGCCACCUGUUAGAAAUAUCAUCAAAUAUAGUAAAUUAGGUUGAGUUACAUUCAUAUAAAAAUGAACUAAUUUAAGCUACGUUCACAUAAAAUGUAUAGUUUUGAAAAAGAAAAAUUAUGAUAUCAUAUUUGAGAUGAAGGAGAAUGAACUAAAAAAAUUAUUCUCAAGUAAAAAAUAAUUAUAAAAAAUAUAAAUGUUAAGAAGAUAAACAUCAAUUAAAAGUAAAAAAAAAUAUUACACUAUUAAUUAAUUAUUUAUACAUUAAAAUAAAAUAAAAAGUCAAUAAGAUUAUUGAUCAUUUAAAUUAUAAAUGGUUUCCAUUAUCUCAUUCUAUAAAGUCUGGCCUGACACAGAACCAAAAUUUCAGAAACACUUUAUUUCAAAAUUGUACCGGACCGAUUAACUAUACCGUAACGACUAGGUGACCGAUACGCAAUAAAACUGGUUUAACCAGUUGGUCCUGUACGGUUUGCUUCAUCUUUCAAUCUAUUUCUUACAUAUAUUCACAUUAAUGCUUGAUAAGAAAACUAUUUCAUCUGAAUACAUUUUCGUCUAGUCGUCAUUUGUAAACAAAUGUUUGCGUACGUAGUCCUCCAGAACUCAAACCUCAUCAUCUGAAAUGAAAUUUCUUAUUUAUAGUUAAGUCUUAUGGUUUGGUGAGAUGGGCUUAUUUCCAAUGAAUCAAACCACAAGAAAGAUUCGAUCACUAAUUACGAAUGGACCGACUAAGCACAUAUUCAAGUAUCAAUCAUAUAUCCCCUCGGGCCGGCCCUAGAGGUGUGCUGGACCGCUUUACGAUACAGGGUGUCAAAAUUUUGAGGCCUCAAAUAUUGAGAAUUAACGUUAUUCGAUUAAAUAAAAGUUUAAACAAAUUACUAUACUUUCACUUGUGUUACAUUAUAGACACUGCUUAAUUAGAACAAAAAUGGCGGGACACUUAACCUUCAAGAUCAACCUUUCAAUAAUAGUACUAAUAAUAAUAGCUUCAUCAUCACUCCUCCAUUUCUCCGCCGCCCAAAACGCCCGACAAGACUACGUCAAAGCCCACAACCGAGCCCGAGCAGCGGUCGGAGUGGGAGACAUCAGGUAGGACGAAAGGGUGGCUGCUGUUGCCCGUAACUACGGCAACAAAAUCAAAGCCAACUGCGACUUCAAGCACUCCCGCGGGCCCUACGGAGAGAAUCUAGUGUUCGGCAAGCCCGACAUCACGGGCAGAAAAUCGGUACAGAUGUGGGUGGACGAGAAGAAAUUCUACAACUGCAGAGCUAACAAGUGCACCGGGGGAGAAUGCGGUCACUAUACCCAAGUUGUUUGGAAGGACUCCACCAAGCUAGGCUGCGCCAGGGUCGUGUGCGACCGGAACAAGGGUACUAUUGUCCUUUGUAAUUACGAUCCUCCGAGUAACUCCGGCCGUACACUUGCCUCCGCAAAUCCCUCGCUGCAUCUAUCGGCGAGUUUAUUGAUCAGUAUGUGUAGCUGCAGCCUGCAGUAUCUAUUUAAGUAUUUUAAAGAAAGAAAGCCGUAACGGCGCUGACAGGUUGCGCUAAAUAAAGUUAAGAUGGUUCGAUUUUGAACACCUUAUUAUAAAGUUGAAUAUGAUUCAUUGACGGAGUCAAAAAGUUGAUCAAGAAACUUCGAAGAUGAUAAUGCAAAGAAAUCAACUAAAUAAAUAGAAAGUCAACUAUAAAUUCGAUCCAUUCUCUUUACAUAAGUAAAUGUCUGAUGUCAUGAGAUGUCACUUGACUUUUAGUUUAGUGACACAUAUAUCAUUAUACUAUUUUAGUUUUCUCACUGGAAAAUAAGAAGUAGUUUUUAUGUCUGUGAUUGUUAGGUGGUUAAGUAUUAUUGUCUGUUUCAGCCUUUCACACCUAACUGAUGUGAUAAUAGUGAAUUCAAGAAUGAUAUAGAAUUAGGAGAGAAAAUAAAAGUUAGACAAAAAUUAUAUAACGAGAAAAUAUUUUCAAUAAAUUUAUAAGAGUUUGAUUAUAAUUAAGUGCGGUUGAGCGAGAUGAUUUCUUUUCACAGUUAAUAUGAUUGGAGUGAUCCUAACCUUCAAAUUAAAGCAACUUAUUAACAUUUCUUAAUAUAAACAUAAAUAAGAACUUAACUGUGAAUGAUUAAAACAAAGCCAUCCCCAACAACGUAACACCACUAAAAAGGGAGGGCACACAGCCUGGCGAGGUUUAUUGUCUCAUAAAAAAUGUGUAACCGGAGAAAGGUGUGAUUGGAGUCUGGAGAGGUUUAUUGUCUCAUAAAAUGAAGUGUUAUCAUCCAUAUAUAAAUGUUAUAUUUUUAUGUAAAUUAUUAAUUUUUACGCAUAUUUAUUUUUAUUUAUACAUACCUUAUUUAUUUAAAUCACGCACAAAUGCUCUUUAGUUUUUGUUGGUAAUAGAGUAAAUAUAUUGCACUAAUAAACAACACAUUGUAAAUAUUUCUCAGGCAGGUUGGAAGUGCCGGUAGUCCGCCACACUUAAAAUCACUAUGGAUGGGUGAUUACCACCACAAUACCAUAAUGACGAUAAUUAAGCCAACCUCCUUAGACCAAUUUACUGUGGUAAUAUUAAUAAUGCAAUACACAACAACUAUUCUCAAAAUUGGCAAGCACAAAAUGGUAAGUAAAUAACACCAUGAUUUACGCAGUUCCCUCCAAUGUAACAGCGACAACUACAAACACUUCUUCACUAAAAUAGAGUAGCCAUAAGCCGAUCCAAGCCGAUCCAAAAUAGUAUCUCUCAAGUGUUUCCCAAUCCCUAAACAACAAUCUCACUAUUUUUACCGCUCACAAGAAAGUAUUUCUACCACGAUAAAACAUUUACCAAAACUUUCUACUGCUCACCUAUCUACCCAACAAUUGAAAUAAUGUAUUUCAAUAGUUACAAAUAAAAAAAAAGCAACUCACUAUACAAAAGAAGGAAGAAGACGUACAGAGAAGAUAAAAUGAGUAAGAGAUGAUUUCAAACAUGUAUCCAUCGUCUCUUUAUAUAGCUAAAUGAAGAGAAAGUAAAUUAAAUGAAUGAGUUAGCAGCUCAUUUAAUUGGUGGCAGUGCAAUGAAGUUGGAGAUGGCCCUUAAUUUGGAGUUGAGAUCCCUUUCUUUCUUUAUUCAGCUGGGACCAACAAUUCUCUCCCUCCCGCCUAAUUCCGANNNNNNNNNNNNNNNNNNNNNNNNNNNNNNNNNNNNNNNNNNNNNNNNNNNNNNNNNNNNNNNNNNNNNNNNNNNNNNNNNNNNNNNNNNNNNNNNNNNNNNNNNNNNNNNNNNNNNNNNNNNNNNNNNNNNNNNNNNNNNNNNNNNNNNNNNNNNNNNNNNNNNNNNNNNNNNNNNNNNNNNNNNNNNNNNNNNNNNNNNNNNNNNNNNNNNNNNNNNNNNNNNNNNNNNNNNNNNNNNNNNNNNNNNNNNNNNNNNNNNNNNNNNNNNNNNNNNNNNNNNNNNNNNNNNNNNNNNNNNNNNNNNNNNNNNNNNNNNNNNNNNNNNNNNNNNNNNNNNNNNNNNNNNNNNNNNNNNNNNNNNNNNNNNNNNNNNNNNNNNNNNNNNNNNNNNNNNNNNNNNNNNNNNGGUGCAUAAAUAAUUGUUAAUUUAGAAAUUUUGUUAGAAAUUUGGUUAGCAAAUGCCAUAUAAGUAUAUGGACCAAAUUUCUAAGAAAAAAUUUAAUUAAAAUUAAUUUUAUAGGAAUAAAUUAAUAAAAAAUAGGUAAAUUAUAGUGUAGGUUUUAGCAAUAGAAUUGUUAAAGAAUUAUAGGGAUGAAAGUGUUUAGAAAUUGUUGAAUUAGUUAAUUGUCAACAUUGGUGAUGUGGCGAUAAAAUUUCUAUUAGAAAUUGCUAAACUAUUUCUGGAUGGAGAUGGCGCCUAAGAGAGUGAGGUUUCGAUAAUUUUUUGUUGAGUUCAGAGCAAGAAAACACAAGACUGAAGUUAGAUCGACUCGAAGUUUUUUCGGAACGGAUUGACUUUUCAUCGAUGAUCUUCAUCUCUUUCUCCUGUAAUCCUUCUUCAAACCAUGUAAGUCUAAAGUUUGUUGUGUGGAUUACAUACAUGAACUUGUAGUUAAGAUUUUGUGUGAAUGAUAGUGGGGUUCUAACCGUUUGAUUACAGUCGAGGUUAUUCAGAUUUAUAAUGUGUUUUAUCUAAAUCCUAAAUUUUGAUUUGUCAUCAUUCCACAAUUCUGUUAACUCGAGAGAGGAAAUGGCUUAAUCCGACUGAAAACUACAAGAUCAUUAAAGUAUUUGACCCAAAAGACAAGUAUUUAAUGUGACUACUUGAUGAUGUUUACGUAUGUAUUUAGUUUUCUUUAAAGUUCAAAUGUAAAAUGUAUAUGCAGCCACUUGGUUAAUAACAAGGUGAAAGUCGAUCUUAUCGGUUGAUGAGUUCAGCACAUCAAAAUGUCAGACCUUUGCUUAGUCAUAUAAUUACAUUCCUCUCUUUUGGUUUAAGAACGAUUUCCACAGACAGUGGUAAUUAAAAUAAAGUAAUUUUCAUUUUUCAAACAACUUAAAAGAAUUUCAGAAAUCUAAAAAGUCAAUGGCAUCAUGUCACAAUGUUACCAUUUAGUUCAGUAGCAUCGAUCUAUUAGCCUAUUUAUACCCUUCAAUUCAUUACCUUUUUCUCCAUCAACACUCACCACUACUGCAAAUCCAUCUCAGCACUCCCUUUUCACUAACAGAUCAACAAUGGCGAUUGUCAACCUUCCUCCUCUCAUUACUCUGCUCAUCUUCAAACUUUUAGUCUCAUUUCAUCCCACUCAAGCCCAAAACAGCCCCGCAGACUAUCUCAGGGCCCACAACCAAGCCCGCGCCCAAGUCGGAGUCGGGCCCAUGACAUGGGAUGCCAACGUGGCCGCCUAUGCUCAGCGCUACGCCAACAGUAGGAGGGACUGCCAGCUUAUUCACUCGUCCGGUCCCUAUGGCGAGAAUCUCGCCAUGGGAAUGCCGGACCUCACAGCCGUAGCAGCCGUGAAAAUGUGGGUGGACGAGAGGCAGUUCUACAAUUGCGGGGCCAACCGAUGCGUUGGGAAUCAGUGUUUGCAUUACACUCAAGUAGUGUGGCAGUCUUCCACGAGGUUGGGUUGUGCCCGUGUGAAAUGCAACAACGGCAGGGGCACCUUUGUGAUAUGCAGUUAUGCUCCUAGGGGCAACAUUGUCGGUCGACGCCCUUACCCUAGGUGUUUCUCGCCGAACGAGGAUGUUAUUGCCGGCGUUACAAGUUAUUAAGUGUUUUAAAACCACUCUCAACCUCCAGAAAGUUGUGCCUUGAAAUGUUGUAGCUAAAUAAGUCCAAUGAAGACAGAAUGCUACAUAAUGUGGUUAUCUGAAGUAUCUAUGUGUAUUUUACUAUUUUAUAAGCCACUCUUUUAUCUUUGUAUUUUGGUUUGGGUUAUAGCUCAAAACAUCAACUCAAGUAGUUAAAUUAAAUUCAACAAUUUGCACAUAAUGGGUUGCCGACGAACAUCAUGAAUGAACAAAGCUUGAUUUGAUAGAUAGAAAGUUGGAUAGAAUCUGAGAAUUUUCUCAUCCGAAACGGAAAUUUUAAAUUCCAACAAAGUGUUUUUUAGGAGCUAGUUUUCCCAUUACCAACUAAAUUUCAAUUCGCAUUCCACCUGUCAAACCAAUCACAAUUGUUGAUAUAUGCUAGAUUGAUUUUCCUUGCUCCAGUUUGAAGCAAGAGAAAUUCCACCCCUUACAAACUCACAGACAAAAGAAAGCCAUGAGCAUCAAAUUUGAAGCAUUCAGUACUGCGACAUUGAUUAGCGUGUAACUUAUCCAAUUAUGUUCAGUUCAAUUCACAUGAAACUUUCUCAUGGAAAAAAGAAGAGAGAAAGGAAGCUAUAUCAUUAAUCUGAAGUCUGAACCUGUAAUGCUUCAACUUGGCCCCGGCCUUGGUUGGAUCAUUGUAUAUACUUGGGAAUCUCGCCCUUUCUGAGGAGACCCAAAGCGUAUUCAGCAGUGUCAGUGAGAUCCUUGAUAUUGUGGACAGACUUUUCCUCGGAUCCCAGCAAGAAGAUGGCACGAACUUCAGCCUUCUUAGCCAAUCUUGCUGCUAAAUUAAGAGGUAAACUUGGAGAGUUGAGACUGCGUAAUAGUUGGCGGUACAGAGACAGAACACACCCUCUAUUCCGUGCCAAAUCUUCAGCUGUCGCCCACACCAGGCCUUUCGCCAUCCUAAAAAAGGAUUCUUUCUGUAAAACUCUGCAUCUCCAAAAACCAAAAACACUGACUUAGACUUAGAUGAGCUAGCUAUACUACCCUUCGUAGCAAGGGGCACGAAAUAGUAAAAUCAGUUGGGAGAGAAGAAACACUGAAACAAAUAAACCUUCAGGAAGAAACGAUGGUGGCUUAUUGUUGGACUCUCAAUACAUACCAAAACGCUACCUAUAAAUCCAUUCACUGGGACGGAUCAGCCGGCUGGGAACUUAUUAGGGUCUACUAACAAAUAAAACCAGAUAGGAAUCAUGGUUGGGAAUUUUCGGUCCGACAGGAAGUAAGAUUCUGAGAUUUUGAGGGCGAACUUUUCUGUUGUCAUCCAAAUUCCAUCCAACUUUUCACACCAACACAAACCAAAUUGAGAAACUGAGGAAACAAUUAGAACUCAGAGUAAGACAAACAAGUUACAAAGAGUCAGCGAAGUGGUUUCAAUCAAGCACAAGGGCGCCCUCAGCUUAAUCAUCUCACUCACGCAUUAAAUCAAACACAUGGUGUGCGGUUAAAGUUCAUCAAGUCUCAAAGCAACUCAUGUGCGGAUUCAUCAAAUUCAAAGCAACUCAUGUACGCAUAUCCUAUAAAAUCGUAAACUUUCAAACCAGACUUAGGAACCCGACAUGGGAUAAUAUCCCCUUUUCAAGUCAAUUCGGAGUUUCACAAAUCAAUCAAGGACUGUGUACCCAUGGUUUAUAGGAUAAUCUACCUGAAAUGCUACGUAAUUGGGAUCGCUUAGCCGAACCGUUGAAGCAGAAGGCGUCGCCACUGCUUGUGUCGUAACAAAAUAAUAUCUGAUCUCUCUCCCCCAAUGUCGACUUUCGUCUGGUGGCUCUCGGGCCGCAGCGGGCACUUAGUAAUUACUCUUUAUCUCUCUCUUUUCCAGGUGCAGGUGCUGCUGCGGCUUUUAACUGCGGUUGCGUGAGUUGUUUUUCCAUAGUCCAUCAGUUCAGGGAAAUUACAGUUUGAUCCCUCUGCUUGUGACAACUCGACGCCUAUUCUUUGUUUCCUGACCAAUCAGCCUCAUUAACUCUUAACUUAUAUACCUUUUAACUUAUCUACUUUAAUAAUCCUUUAUAUUUGACGUAUUUUUUAAAUUGUCCUAAGAUCGUGUUUUAGUUAUUUUGGUCUGCAUUAAAAUUUUCCCCACUCCCUAUCAAUAUUUUUUAUUUUAUUCCGUUUACUUUGCCACAUGAAUCAAUUAUACAAACACCCACAUCAUCAUUAAUUUUUUUCAAAUUAAAAAUUUAAAAAAUCCUUUUUUUCCCACCCUCUUUCUCUUCCUUUCUUUCUCCUCUCUCAAUUUCAUCUCUUUGUUUCUCAUAGCCAUUUUAGCAUGCCGAGCAAACUAAAUCAUCUUUGGCCUUAAAGUUAUAAGGCGUAUCGAAAGUCUCUCUUUCAGAGCGUUGAAAUCCUCGUCGUCGGCAAAAGAGUUGCCGUUGAAGAAUACGAGAUCUUUUAAAACAAACAGAAUGAGACAAGGCAAUGGGAAGAAAAAAGAAUGUACGAAUUGGAUUGAUUUUUUUUUGUUUUGAAAAUCCAACCGUGAUGGUCGAAGAACCGUUCAAAGAGAGAUCCGAGAGAGCCUCUGUCGGAGAAAUCGAGAGGGAGAAUACUAUUGAUCUUCUUAUCGGAAGAGGGGGACGUCGCCGACGAUGACUUCUUUCUCCACAACCAGCUCCACCACUCCAUCUCUCAUUGGGUUCGUCACUGCUGUCCCUGCUGCCACAACAGUUCAUUUUCGGAAUUACUCGGCGAAAAUCCUCUCCCUGCUUGACCACCCUUUCCUCCAUACCCACUACGCUUGAAUCGGCGUCUCUCACUACACUUGUCUAUUGAUUGAUUACUGUUAGAUUAUGGAGUCUGAUAAACUAAAGACUUUUGAGCUUGGCCCAGUUAGUUAGUUUAAUCAAAAAAGGAAUAGGAUUAAUCUUGUCUAUUCCAUAUAGGAUUAAGAUUAAUCUUGUCUAUUUCAUAUAGGAUAGGGAUUAAUCUGGUAGCUCCCUAUAAAUAACAUAGUUUUGUAAUUGUAUUUUGUAUCCCAAACAUAAUAGUCGAAUUCCUGAUUUGGUAGCGCCCCAGACGUACUCUUCCUGCGAAGGGGAACUGGGCUAACCAAUCUUGGUGUUCUGUGUUCUUAAUUUUCAGUUCGUGAUUGCGUUGUAUUCCCUACAGCUGGUAUCAGAGCUCCAGUUCGGAUCGAGGAUCAGACGACAAUUACGAUGGACGGAAAAUGGGCGGUGGAGAAAUUCGAUGGAGUUGAUUUCGGGUUCGGAAAGAUGCAGAUCGAGGAUUAUCUGUAUGGUAAAGAUAUGGACCUACGAUUAGAAGGAAUGAAACCGGAGGGCAUGAAGGACGAAGAUUGGAAGCUUCUAGACAGGAAGACGAUGAGCGUGGUGCGUUUAUCAUUGUUUAGGAAGAUCGUGCUACAGACGCAAAAGGUGAAAACGAUGAAGGAGAUGUUGGAUAUGUUAUCUGGGAUUUAUGAGAAGCCGUCUGUAGCAAAUAAAGUUCAUCAGGUACGGCGGUUGUUUAAUCUGCAAAUGGGAGAAGACACGGAUGUUGGUGAUCACUUGGAUGAGUUCAACGUUGUGAUAUCGAAGUUAAGUUAUAUCGAUAUCAAUUUUGACGAUGAAGUCCAAACUCUACUUCUACUGUCCUCUCUGUCAAAAAGUUGGAGUACAACUAUUAGUGCUUCAACAGGUAAAAUGAAGAUGAAAACAGAUGAAGUCAGAGAUUUUAAUUUUGAGUGAACCAAUUCGCAGGAAGGACAAUGCAGGCUCAACUUUAGGUUCCGCUUCAAGUUCAUGUUCCAUUUUUAAGAUGGAUGGCAGAGGGAAAAAGAAGGCAAAGAAAGAAGUUCGAUGCUGGAAUUGCAAUGAGUUGGGUCACGAAAAAAUAAUUACAGUGCGAAAAAGUCUGCAAAAUGGAAAAUUGGGUGUUGGAUUUGGGAUUAAUAUUCCACUUUAGCUAGGAUGCAGGUAAAAUGGAAAAUUAUACCUCUGGAAGCUGCGGAAAGGUCUAUUUUGAAGAUGGGACGACCUUGAACAUAGUGGGAAAGGGAGAUGUUAGAAUUGCAACACUUGGAGGAUCUAUUGUGGUACUAAAGAAUGUGAGGCACAUUCCAAACUUGGACAGAAAUUUGCUUUUGGUUGGACAGUUAGAUGACGAAGGAUACUUCGUGCACUUCGGUAGUGAGAAGUGGAAGGUUACCAAAGGAGCUACCUUGAUAGCUUGUGAUAUAAGGUUUCGACGUUGUACAUGGCUUAUAAUGCUCGUAAUAGUGUUGUUGUUGACGAAGGUAAUGGUGAUGGAUCAAUGUGGCAUUUUCGUCUUGGCCACAUGAUUGAGAAAGAGAUGAAGGUGUUAUGUUCAAAGGAAUUUCUACCAGACCUCAAAUUUGUGGAACUCGGAUUGUGUGAGGUAUGCUUAUUCGAGAAGCAGACUUGGUUGAUUUUUUCGAAGGGUGGUAUAACUUUGAGGAAGCUGAAGAUGGAAUUAGUCCAUAGUGACUUGUGGGUUCCAACAAUGGUAGCAUCUCUUGGUGGAUCGUUGUACUACAUGAUAUUUGUAAACGAUGCCACAAGGAAGACAUGGAUUUACUUCGUGAAGCACAAGUCUGAAGCAUUUGGCGCCUUCAUGAAAUGUAGCAGUUGUAACUACAGAAUUGUGGAGUUGGAUACUUCUAACUCAAGUGGGAGAAUAGAAGCUCAAAUUGAAGGGGAGAAUGUUCAGGAACUCCACCAGAUUCUCUGUGACGAUCCACAAGGUAACGUGGAUCACCAAAUAGGUAUGCGCCUUCAAAUUAUUCAGUUUAUAAAAUAAAGAAGAAGGCGGAUGGGAGCAAACGUUACAAGGCAAGGAUGGCAAGGAUGGUGAUGAAAGAAUUUGAACAUGAAUACAAUAUUGAUUAUAUUGACGUCUUUACUUCAGUUGUUAAGUUAACAACUAUUAAAUUAGUGCUAUUUAUGGUGACUGUGGAGAAUUUGGAAUUACAACAGAUGGAUGUAAAGAUGGUCUUCUUUCAUGGGAAUUUAGAUGAAGAAAUUUAUAUGAAGCAGUCAGAGGGUUAUUUGUCUGAAGGCAACAAUCAGUUUGUGUGCAAAUUGAAAAAGUUGAAGCUGUGUAUGACUUCAACUGCCUUUGAUAUUUGAAGCUGAAAGCAUGGUGCUGCCUAAAAUAAGAAAUAUUGAAGACAGAGAUAACAAUGAUAGGAGUUAGUCUUCAGGUUGUAAGAUUAUGGAGUCUGAUAAAUUGAAGAUUUUUGGGCUUGACCCAGUUUGUUUAUUUAGUCCGAAAAUGAGUAGGAUUAGUCUUGUCUAUUUUGUAUAGGAUUAUGAUUAAUUUUGUUUAUUCCAUAUAAGAUAAGAAUUAAUCGGACAGCACUUAAUAAAUAACCUAAUCUUGUUAUUGUAUUUUAUAUCUCAAAUAUAUUAGUCAAAUUUCUGAUUUGAUAGCGCCCCCAGGAGUAUUUUUUUUAUGAAGGAGAAUUGAGUUAACAAAUCUCGGUGUUUUGUAUUUUUUAUUUUUUGGUUUGUAAUUUUGUUUCAUUCGGGUAUGCUCCAACGGCGAUUUGCACUCUGUUCUCCAGAAGCAGCCAGGGAAUUGUUUUCCGUCGCCGCCGUCAAGUUCUUUGCUUAAGAAGCUGAGAUGGACGAUUAACUUAGCUAGCAAUUUCUUUGACACUAUUGAUAAAGCUCAGAGAGUUGGUUAGACUAGGUUUGUCGAGCAAAGAUCAUUUUGGAACGUCUUUAGAAGAGUUCUAUUUCACGAGGCAUCAAAGCCAAUCCGACCUCGAUCCCACGGCUCCCGUCCCGGCACUCCGCCAUCGGAAUUGCACCCGUCCGAUCAAUCGACGUCACCUCCACCGAUUUCGGCCUCCCCCAUCCGAAAUCAGCGCCGUACACGUUGAACCUAGAGGAUCCAGCAAUUCCAAUGAAAACUCCUAUGCUCGCCUCCAAAUUCCUCAUGAACCUCGGCAAAUUGUCUUUCUCCACUGUCGCUUUCUCUUCCACAGCAUCAAUCAUCCUACUGAUCCUCUCCACUACAAAUCCGGCUAUCGGCUUCUUAAAAUUGGGAUUUAGUGAAGAAAUUGGGAUUUAGGGAUUGAGGGAGAUGAGUUUGCAGGAAGGGAAGAGAGGGAGAAAGAGCUUGAAGGGAGAUGGUUUUUUUUCUUUUUUCUUUUUAUUUUGUUGACUAAUGAUUAUGACUUGUGAUGUGCUUUUAUAGUGCGCGGCAAAGUGGACGGAAUGAGACGAAAAAUGUUGACAGUAAUUUGAAAAAAUUUCAACUCAAAUCAAAAUGAAUAAAAACACGAACUUAGGACAAUUAAAAAAUACGUCAAACUUAGAGGAUUAUUAAAGUCGAUAGCUCAAUUUUUUGGUAUGGCAUAUUCAUUGUUAUCAUAACUCAUGAGUUUUCACUUUUCACAAUUGGAGUACUUUCGGAAAGUUUAGGAAAAAAUUCGAUCGAAAUUUGGCUCUAUAAUAAAGGAGUUGGCUCGAUAAUGAAUGAGACGAGUUUGAGCUAAUCCUGAUUCGACUCGGCCGGCUGGCCCGUUAGAUCGACUCGUGAGCUCGAUGAGCCUAGCUUACCAGCUCGGCUAAGGCUUACGAGUUAGCUCGAUUACCGCUCGUUAAAUGGUUCAAAUAUUCUCAUUUUGUCUAAAAAGAAGAAUAUAAUGAUUGAUGUUGUGGUAAUGAUUAAUUACUUAAUUAGACUAUAAGAGUCGAGUCCAUUUUAGAAUAUUGUAAAUUUUUAAAAGGUUUAUCCGAAUAAAACUCGAGAUUAAACUCUUACAAACAAACCGAUCUAAACUUAUUAGAACUUACGAACAAGCCAAUUUGAAGCCGAGUCGAACCCUCGAGCAAAAUUAGUCGAGCUGACCUCGAGUUUGAUUAUUAUGGCUCGAAUGAAGCUCUCACUCCCCUAUAAACUAAACAAGCUCCGUUCAUCAGUAGUCUACCGCUAGUUAGAGACUUAGAGCGAUUCUUUCCCACCCAGAACUUUUUCAUACACAAUUAAUCACGAAAGCUUCCUACUUACCCAGUUCAUUGAUUCCUUUUUUAUCUGUUAACCUGGAAUAGAUUCAUAGGUAAAAGUUUUGAGGUAUUUGCCCCAUACAAAUACAAAUUUACAUGGUUUAUACAAACAAAAGUAUAUAUUUUGUUUGUACAGAAAUAUGAAAUCCUUUACAAAUCCACACAGAUUUUUACAUGUCCUUUCUUUACCAAUAUGGUCUCUAAGAUAGGUUUCCAGUUAUCAGGUCCCUUCAUUUUGCUUAUUAAGUGCCACACCUACCUGAGUUAGCACUUAGAAUACUCACUCACAUCUAAAGAAGGAAACUGUAUCAUACAUAUUACAUCCAACUCCCACCAAAAUUAUAUAUACCCUUUGCCACUCCUAGAGGACAUGAUAAGUCAGUAACAAUAACCAGUUUUACAUUGUGGUUCACAAAGAAUUAGACAUCUGUAAAUGAGUACUCCAAUUUGCAACAAUUCAUUAACUUCAGUUCGAUCUCUCCUGUCCUGGCAUCCCAAAUUCCAUCUUUGUUUCUCUGCAUAUCCAGGGAACAGAUGACCUGCUGAAACUACUGCAACUUUUAUACAUUUUCAUGACUUAACUCUUCUUUUUUCUUCCAGUACUUACAAUGUAGCUCUCUCUUCAUAACACCAUGAGCUUUUAGCUUUCAAAAGACCACACCUUUGCUUUCGAUUGCUUUACGGAUCCUCAGGUUUCUGGACCGCAUUACCACUGCGUGUCAUUUGUUCUGCUUGCCCUUCAAAGCUCAAUGAUUUCACAGAUUCUUUGACAACGGCAUCCGAAACUCGCACCUUCAUAAUACUCCCCACAACUCAUUCAGUAAUUUACUCUUUCAGUUUAAUCAAACACAACACUUUUUCUGUAACAUUCAUACCUGUAGGGGCAUUUGCUCUGCUUGCCCUUCGAAGCUCACUGAUGGCGCAGAUGCAUUGGAAUCCGAAACUCUCACCUUCAAUAGCACCUCCACAAUUCAUUCAGUAAAAUAUACUUUGUUCAGUUUUAAUUUAAUCACAAUUUUUUGUUCUUUGAAAGUUUGUACCUGUAAUGGCUUCAUGAUACCCAUGUCUGAUUCAUCAGUUUUAUCCAGUGCUUCUUGAGCUUGCAACUCCAUAGAAUCUCGAACCAGUUGGCUUAAAAAGUUCACGUCAUCAGACAUGACUCCAAGUCCUUUCAAUAGCUUCGACCCGAGUUGUAAACUAGUCUGCAUUAUAUUGUUGCGUCAGAAGCAAAGGUUAAGAGUCAAAAACAAGUAUAGGUAGGAAAGAGUGAAUAAAGAAUCUGCUUCGUUUACCUCUGCAUUCUCUAGAAUGGCAUCUGUAGCACCACCUUUCUUCAGAUCCAAAAGAUGCAUAAUGUUCUGAGCUCUAGCAUAUAUCGGAAUCUGUAGCAUCGAGUAUUCACCAAAAACCCACAAAUUCAGCAAGACAGGAUUACACGUAACAGAUGAAACUUUAACAGCUGAUCCACAUAAAUUAGUAUUUAUGAAAAAAGGGAAAGUCUCACCCCAGGAAAUGCAAGUCGAAGCCUCUGUACAGCCUCAAGUGUCCUUUUCUUUCCAGUGUAAGUAACUAUGACAGCUUUAGGUGCAGAGAAGCCAGCCGUUCGGAGUACUUCAGGGCGUGAUCCAUCCCCAUAUAUAAUUGGGAAACCAAGUUUUCGAGAUGCCUGUGCACCAAGUUAUAGCUUUCAGCUUCCAAAAGAUGAAUGGGAAAUCAUGCAAUUUGUCAUUUCCUUGGACGUACACAAAAGAGCAAGCAUGAGCCUAGAGGAUUAUGAAUAAAAAUGUUUAGAGUAACUCUAGCAUGUAGGAAGAAAAUAAAGAUCCUGAACCAGAAAUUCUUGUAAUAGUUGGAUGGAUAAUCCCAUGGGGGCAUUUCCAUACCUGUACCACGGAUGGGUUCAGAUCGAAAGCUAUGAAAGGCAUUCCCACCGCUGCGUCACCAUCCACUCCUGAAGUAAACGGAGUGGACAAGAAGUUUGCCAACACCUGCAUACAGAGAGCUUGAAAAUUUAGAGCUAAUGCCAGAAUCCUGCAAAAUCGGGACGUAGUCCACUUUCAUAAUUAGUUAUGUACCUGGCCCAUCUGUCCAAAUCCAAGGAUGACAACAGGCUCACUGCCUUCAAAGUUGACUGGCUCAGCCACUUUCUGAACGUUUAUAAUUUAGAUUAAAGGGAGAAGUACCAACCAUUGAUAAACAUCAUAGCAAGGUAAAGAAGUAUUCUUUUGAGCUAAGCCUGAACUUGCAGCUGAAAGCGUGAAACUUUAGAUGCACUCAAUCUCAAAAGUGUCGAAUCGCUAGAGAAAAGGAGACAUACUUCUUCUGCAUCAGACUUGUCUUCAAUAAACCGAGCAGCUCUUCUUCCAAGUUCAUUAAGAAACGGGGUUAAUGCCAUUGACAACACGACGACGAUUAUAAGAAGUUUGUUGAGCUCAAGUGGUAGCACUCCCAGUCUGUGUCACAUCAUAAAUAUGAGCAAUAACAACAUUGGAUACAUAGCCAUGCAAAAUAUAGCAUUGCGUCCUCUAUGAAUGAAAUGAAUACUCACCUGUUAGCCAGAGAAAAGACAACAAAAGCAAACUCUCCACCCUGUGAUAGCAGCAACCCGAUUCUUACACUCUCUUGCAAAGUGAGUCCAACUCGAGGACCUAUAGCUGUUAUAAUCAGUGUCUUGAUCACAAUUAAUCCCCCCAGGAGUGACAGUACAUUUGGCCAUUCUCGUAAAAGCAGCUGCAUUCCAAGUCGAUAACCAAUUCAGUUAAUCGAGAAAUAGACUAAUCGAGAAAUAUCAGUUCCGCGUGUUGUACCUGAGUGUCCACAGAAGUUCCUGUCGUUACAAAAAAUAAUCCAAGAAGCAACCCCCUGAAUGGUCGUAUGUCAGCUUCAAUCUGUGUACGGAAAUUUGUUUCUGCCAAUAAUGCCCCAGCUAAAAAUGCACCAAGCUGUAAAUUUGCAAGAGUCAGCAUUUACAUGAGCAUAGAUACAAUGUUAAUUAACCACUUGAGGUAUGAAAGAGGGUUUAAGACCGUGUCACUGAAGCCCAACUUCUGAGUAAUAAGAGAAGUCCCAGCAACUGUCAGCAGGCAGAGAGCAACAAAGGCCUCUGAGCUUCUUGCUUCUGCAACAACCUGGGUAAGGUAACAACCUUAUGAUGCAUGAGUAAUAACAGAAUCUCUCAGAUUUAAAGAGAAAAUAGAUAGAGCUCCCACCUCAAAAACUCGCCUUAGACCGAAUUUCCCACCAAGAGAUAGCAAUCCCAAUCCCAAUAAGGCCUUUAAACUUUCCUGAAUAAGCGUUGGCAAUAUACUUUCCCCCACCAGAUUCUGCUAAGAUGGAUGAAAAUUCAGAUAAAAGAAUUUUAGCUUCAGAUUUAAACAAAAUGCACACCUUACAAUUGAUGCAAGCAAACAUGCUUACAAUUUACACCUAAUCAUAUUACGUAGUCUUCGAAAAUGAAUACCGAAAGAGAAAAUUUGGACACACCUGGCUCUCUAGGACAGGCAGUAUGACUAAAAGAGGAACUACUGCUAUAUCCUGCAAACAACAACCAUAACAAACGAUUUUACAUAAUUUAAUUUACAAAUAAGUUUCAUUUAGAGAGAGAUAGAUGAAUCAAGAGACAAAUAAGCAUGUGAACCAAGGUAUAAACUAGCCGUAGAAAAAUUGUGUAUAAAUAGUAAAAGUAAACCUGUAAAAGAAGUAUCCCCAAAGUUGCUGAACCAAACCUCGUAGGCAGCUCACCUUUUUCUGCAAGAAGCUACAUAGCAUGCUUAUUAAGCUUCACGAUGCUCUUCCAACUAACUUUGAUUAAAGCAUUUCUUGAAAGUGAAAAGGGUACAUAUUACAAGCAACGGGAAAAGAUAUUUUGGUCUAUGAUCUAGUCUAAUUAAUGUGCAGAUGCAAAAAUUUCCAAUUCCCCAUCAGCAUACUUUUAUGAGUCUGAUUCUCUUUUGAGUUUCAACAAGCUUUCUUUUGUGUUUGGCAACAAUGCAAGAGGCUAAGAAAAUAUGUAUCCAAAUGUAAUUCAUCAUCAAAAUUAAAAAACCAUAAAAAAAUCCUCAAAUUGGAAAAAAAAUCAGGAGUUUUCAUCUCUUUCCUGCACAAGAUUGCAAUUUCAACAUUUACAGGUUAAGAAUAUAGCAACUGCUGCUAGAGAUGACUUCCAUUCUAAAAGCGCGACUUAUGAAUGCAGUGCCUACUACCUAAUAACAAUAUGACCUGGAUUCCGAGAAGUACCAAGAUACCAAUACAGUAAAAGAUGAGCAUUGUCCUGACAAGUACCUGAAGAACAAAGGCAGAAGAAGACAGAGAGAGAGCUGCACCAAUAACAAUAGCCUCAUCAAUGCUUCUGAUAUUCACCUGAAUUUGAACGAGUCCAGAAAUCAAAUUGUAAACUCCAAAUGUUCAGCAACCAUAAUGUCAACAUAAAAUCACAAAAAAGCGUAUAUGCUAAUGCUGGAUCUGUAAUUUAUGCUUAAUGAAUUCUUUAGUCAUAAACUAACUGGCAAAAUAAUGUUAUGGAGAAUAAACAAAGAACCAAAGAACCAAAGAACAAGAAUACAUGGACAAGAGACAAGGGAAGAAACAAGUGCACUCACCAAAUCAUCCCGUGAGUGAAAAAGGAACUGCAGAAUUUUUGUUCCAACAGCCCCAUUAGGUGGAAGCUCAAAUGCUGUGAAAGCAAGAGUGGAUAGAACAACCUUCAAAACAAUAUAAUAGAGUGUAAACAUGAGCAACUUGUGUAUAUAUAACUCUCUCAAUUCAUCCAAGCUUGAUGGACGGUUAAUAUAUAAUCCAAGCUACAGUAAAAAAGGGUGAUGAUGUACCUGAGUCAAUCCCAUGCCAAAGGCAAAUUUUGCUAGGGCUUUAAGUCGUGCAAGUGAGAGCUCUAAACCCAUUUCAAACAGCUGAGGUAAAAACGAAACAUAUUAGUUGAUAGUGAUUCUGCUAUCUGCAUAGUAUUAGUACUUCCUAUGACAAUAUCUAAAGGAGUCAUAGGACGUAUUCAGAAGCAAUGAGUUGAAUUAUUGAUCACGGAGUUGAGAGUGCUAAAUACUGGAGAUAUGAAGAUAGAAUUCAUCUGAAAGGAAAAAUGUUAUACAAUCUAUUGUCCUUACCAAGAACAGAAUUCCCCAUUCUGAAAGAACUUUAACAUCUGUUAGAUUUCUGAUGAAGCCAAACUGAUUGAGUACAAUCCCAGCAAAAAAGAAACCAAGUAUCUGAGGAACAGUAACCAAUAUAUUAGUCAUUGAUUGCCGUUGUUACAUGGAAAUUGGAAACGAUAAUGGUUUUACUCACAAAUCAUAAGACAUGGCAAAUGAUGAGAUUUUCAAACUUACUGGGCUAGCUUUAAUGAUCCUGAACACAGGGACAACAACAACAGUAACAGCCAAGAAAGUCAAUGUAUCCAAUCCCAGAUCGUUGAUAACUUCUACAGCACCAGCAAGCUCACUUGUCGAAUGUGUACGAGUUCUCUCCCCCGGGUUUAGUUUUUGUUUAAAAAGAUAGAAUCCUCCUCCUCUAGUUGGUGCUGAAGUAGUCGUCAAGACGGUCUUGUUGUGUUGGAGGACUCUGGUUGAAUAUGUAAAAGAGUAAUGACUUAUCCUGCAUCCAACUGCAUUCAAUUUCUUCAUAUAUUUAGCCUGCUUUCUGGAAUACCAAGUACCAGAGGAACAUCCAUGAAAUCCGGAUAUCCCAAAACAGCAACCCCUAAAUUGCCUACUUUGUUGGAAAACAUCUUGUCCCUGCAAAGCAGUAAACACAUGGAAUUCACUGUCACUGAAUCAUGAACUUCCAAUCAUCUGUAAAGCACACCAAACAGUAAACCACAGAAAAAAAAACUAGGAAUCAAACAGCAAGAAGCACUCUUUAUUCUGUUUGAGAAGCUCAUGGAAGGAAAUAGCUGAACAAGAAAUUGUAAACGUAACACAACAUAUAAAAACUGGCAAGAAUUUCAGCAGACAUAUGAAGCCAGCUGCAUAAGAAUGGUUCCAAGUAUGAACCUUUCGAACUCAAGAAGCCUUGAAAGGUCACAUUUGCACCUUGGGUUGAAAGAGAAGUACCUUGGGAAAGCGGGAACAGUUGAUGGAGUCCAACAUAACUACAACUCUCAACACGAGUAGAGAAGAAUCAAAGAGACGAAGAAGAAGGAAAAGGAAAAGGUUGCGUAGGUUUGUUGUUUCAUUUCAGACGAACCCAGGAGUAGGAAGAUGAAACCGCGCCCCCUGUAUUACUGGAGAAGGGCAAUCCAAAUUUUACUAUUCUUUUUUGGUCAUUUCUUCCGUACUUCCUACCGUUGCCAGUCGUUUUUUUCAUUUUCAUUUUCAUUUUAUUUUUAAUUGUUUUUCUGUGGCGAGGAAAUUGGAGAAGAGGUGACCUGUAAAAGUCUACGUGGCGGAUUUCGUUAUCUGCGAGUGAUAAAUUGAUUCUGAGCCCAAGCGAUGAAUUUGGCGGCCUGCGGUCAGUGGUGUUCGGUGGUCGGCGGCGCUGGAUUCCGGUGUUUAAUGUCAUUAUCCAUUAGCGGAGAAAGCGAAAUUUAUACUCAUUUUUGCAAGGACAACAACUACCCACAUCUACCGUAUAUCUACCACUACUCUGCUACUUUCUUCGGUGUCACUACGAACUUCACUUCAUGCAGAGCCAAAAAUACCCUUUGGGACACAUUUGCUUCUUUCCCUUCCAAAUAACAACCUCAAGCUUCCUUCUUUUUUCCUUACUGCAGAAAACUAAUUCACAGUCUUCAUUGAGUCCUUUGAAACUGAGAAACAACCGGGGGGAAGGAACUCGGCAAAAAUGAACUUAUCAGUUCAGCCAGUUCAUUUCUUGCUGCAAGUACGAGAAAUAUUAUGAUAAUGUGUUCCAACAUGCAAGGAUGAAGUAACUCAACUUGCAUCCAUAUGGCUGGUAAUGCCCAAGCCACUUAUACAUUCUACUCGACAAAUCUUAUUCAGACUGCCAAAUUGAUAUUGUUUGGUUUACACAACAAACUGAUACGCCACAAACCCUCACAAGUCACAACUGAACAUAAUAUAUAGAUUAGGAGGAGCCAGUUAUUUUUUCAAGUGGAAGCAUUGCCAGGAGCAAACUUGAGUGAUACGCUGUUGACACAGUGUCGUUCAUCGGUGGGUGUCUUAAACCCUUCCCCUUUAAAGACAUGACCCAGAUGGCCUCCACAAGCUGCACAUGUUAUCUCAAUUCUCCGGCCAUCUGGGUCAGCCUGAGAUGCAGACACCAGAUUGACAUUGUUAGUUGUUACUACCAACAAAGUUCAACGCUUUGCUACAUGAUUAAGAAGAUGAAACCAAAUAGGGAGGGGCAACUCACAUGGCGGUUUAUGGCUCCAGGAAUACCAUCAAAGAAAGCAGGCCAGCCACAACCAGAAUUGAACUUUGUGGUUGAUUUGUACAGCGGAGUCCCGCAUCCUGCACAGCUGUAGACUCCCUCCUCGUAGAACUUGUCGUACUGCCCCGUACCAGGAUACCUACCCAGAAUUAGAGCGGAGUGAAGAACCAUUUAUCAGAUUCCACACCGAGCGCGAAAAAUACAGACUUAAAACAAAGUGAAUAACCAAUUAAUGGUAUAUAUCUCACGGUAUCACCUAUUGGAUUCACUUAUAUAGGCAACUCCAGGUUCAAUUUCUCAUCCACCCACAGCAAGUUAAAGCCCAAGAGGUUCCUGGAUUUCAUUUCAGAGUAUUUAAGAAUCGAGCCCAUCAUUUCUAUAGUCCGACGACAAGUGGGAAGUAAAUGAUGGCGAGCUCUUGUUCACUCUUUAGAUAACUCAGGUAAUCCAAAUCCCCAACUCGAAAGAAGUUCUAAAACACAACAUGAUUCAGAAUCGAUGGACAUCAGCCCUCUUCAAAUUACAGCAUCGAAAACAAACCCAUAUCCCAAUAUGUCAGUUGGUUAGUGAAUUUGAUUACUUUUCGAAUCUUCUUGACGAAACAACAGAGGACGUUCUAAAAUUAACUCUAGAAGAGGGAAAGAAAAUAUGGAUCAACUUAGGUGGUUUCAAGGAAUCAUACUCGGUGCCUUUAAGCCUCAAAAUCCUGAACUGUUCAGGCGAAAGGACGGCGCGCCACUCUUCAUCAGACUUCUGGACCGACCCGGGAGCCGACAUGGCUACAAUCCGACUGACACGAAAGCUACGCUUGGAGGAGACAAAGGACGAAGACUUAGCAAAAGGGGAGAAGUAUACAAAGCGAGAAACUUUGGAUUGCGAUUGCAACGACCUGGAAUGGGUGACGGUGUAAAGAGGAGGGUUAGUAGGAAUAGUGGUUGGAUGAAAGAGAAGGGUGUUGGCGGAGGAUGCAAUUGGAGAGGUUUUGAGCAUGCUGCGCAUUUUCUAUUUGCAAGGAUUCUGUGCUGUAGAGAUAAAGGAGAUGAGACAAAAGGCUGGCAAGCAGUCCACCAGUCUGGAUUGGGUAAUUAUUGCUUUUGGUUCCUUUUCUAUUACGACUGUAUACUGUGGUCACAAAUCUUUUUCAAAAGAAGAAAUAAAAAGGGAUCCGAAGACCGGGGGAUUGAACCCGACGUGAAUCGAACACGCAACCUUCUGAUCUGGAGUCAGACGCGCUACCAUUGCGCCACGGAUCCGGUCGGUGUUUAAGCAUCCCUAAAUGUUUAUUUCACUCUUAAAAAACAAACAAAAUUAAAAGGAACCAACUCUCCAUUUCCCCCUGCUUGGAAUCAAUCGAUGCAGUUCAGUCCUCCUCUCCAACCUCUCCGUCUCUCUGCAUCCCCAUUUUCCAGAACUCUGCUGCUCUGCCGCGUUAGGAUUUCAGGUAAACCCUUUAUCCGCCAAUUUCCUCUCCUUGGCAGGCUUCCUUUUGUGGAAAAUUCUGAACCCUUCAUUGCUCAUUCCAUUUCGGCUCCCUCCCGCGCCUCUUAUGUCGCUGUUGUUUUUGUAUCCAUUUGUUGAUUGCUUUCAAGCGAUCAUCCUUAAUUUUGGCGUCCGGAUUCCCAUUUCCCAAUUUCUAGGGUUACGUGGAGGUAAAAGAGUGUUGGGGUUGAAGCAGAAUUAUUGUAUCUGUAUUUCAAAUUUAUGUUUGGCUUCAUCAACUAGCAUUCUCGUUUGGUCGACGUUUGAAAUUCCGUGUUUUUGGAGCGGUUGUUUGCUUCAAAUCUCUGCAUAUAUGAAUGACUCUCUUUGCUGGUAAGAUCAGAUACGGUGGAUUAUGGUUCCGGGCAUUCUUCAUUUAGGGUUGUCACUUACAGUUUCAGUAUUUGAAACAUAUUAUAGAAUUAGUAGUAUUUGCAGUAUGUAGUUGCCACAUUGUUUUGCUGUGAAUUGUUGCCAUGUGACUCUGUGAUAUCUAUUAUCUCUUGUUGCAUUCUGAAUUGCUUAAGACGAUUUGUUCUUUUUGGUUUCUCUUCUACUCUUUAUUUUGUGCUAGGGAUGGAUUUAUCGAUGACGAAGGAUUCCUUUAAUCAUAUCGGUAAGAAGCGGAAGUCCCUAGAAUUAAUUGAUCCAGUGAGCCUCGAAGUCGAGUUAAAGCUACAACAGAUUCAAUCAGUUCACAAUCUUAUUCUUCCUGACGAUCAGAAAGCCAUCCUCAGGCAGCUCAAACAUAGGCUUAACACAAUGAGACCACUCUCCCUAUUAGAGGCGCCGCAGAAGGAAUUGGGUAUGAGCCUUUCGAAGUACCCAAAGCUCUUAGAGAAGUCGUGGAAUCCCGACAUAUCCAAAGCUUACAGAAGUCUUGAGUUUGAUUUCCACAUAAUCAACCAGGUAAUAGCUGCCCAUUUUUACCAGAAGGGUUUGUUUGAUUUGGGUGAUUGUCUACUGAGUGAAGGUGGAGAACCAGAAACAACUUCCUUGAAGUCUCAAUUCAUGGAACUGCUCGAAUGUGUGAUGCCAUUAGGGUUAGAAACCUUGAGCCAGCCCUGACAUGGGUCUCAAACAACUUUGAGAAACUUCGGCAGUUUGGUUCCAAGCUUGAGUUGAAGCUGCAUAGCUCGCAGUUUAUGGAGAUGCUCAGGGAGGAACUCGGGCUGAUACUCUCUAUGCUCUCAACUAUGCAAAAACUCACCUUUCUCCUCUCGCAGGGGUUACAUGGAGUUCCAAAAGAUCACUGUUUCUUUGUUGUGGAGCGGGAAGCUGGAAAAAUACCCUUACUCCGAGUUCUCGUCUCCAACAUAUUAGGAUGAUUUGGCCGAUGAGUUUAGUCAGGAUUUCCACAAGGUUAUGGGACAGUGCUAUAAGGACCCUUUAUCUGCAGCUAUUGCAGCUGGUAUUGAAGGACUCCCUACUCUGUUGAAGCUGGCUAAUGCAAUGUCUGUGAAGAAUCAGGAAUGGAAAGCGUUGAAGCAGCUGCCAGUGCCGGUGGAACAAAGCAGAGAUUUCCAGUUUCAUUCGAUAUUCGUUUGUCCGGUGAGUAGGGAGGAAAGUAGUGAAGAGAAUCCACCUAUGAUGAUGCCAUGCCUGCAUGUUCUGUGCAAGAAGUCGAUAAUAAAGCUCUCAAAAAACAGCUUGAGGUCGUUUAAGUGCCCAUAUUGUCCAGCAGAGGCUACAGUUGCAUGAUGCAGGCAGUUGGUUUUUUAGUAAAGCUUCUUCCUCCUGGAAUGAGCCUUUGAUAAAAUAAUCUUCUUUUUUUAAGUUGUUUUUUUUCCUUUUGGUUUCCCCCUCUGGUUGAUGAUUGUAUAUAAACAUUCUUUCCUAAGUCUGUCUAUCCAUAUUAUGCAUCUAGCUAGUGUCUUUAUUAACGGCAGUCAGAUCAUUGCAGACACCAAGAUGAGCUAGGAAACAUCAUUACUUGUUCAAUUUUUACACAUUCAUAUUCUUACUAUCCAUGUUUGGAUGAGUUAUUUUGAAUAUGUGGUAUUUUAAAGUAAAAUAAUAUAUUAUUUGAGAAUGUUGUAUUUAAAAGAGGAACAAAUGGUUUAUGAUGUCGAAAUUUCACACUAUUUCAAAUAAUAUAGGGUAGGAAGGUAGCCUAAAAUGCACAGAUUUUGUUUUGAUUGUUAAACAAGUUGUUUUUGAGAAGUAAUAUCAUAGUCCGAAAUAUCAUCAAACUGGACUUUUAGUUCCUCGCAGUCGCAGAGAAUAGAAGAGCAUUAGCUCACUGAAUCAAUAAUGAACAGAAGCAUAUUACUCAAACUGCAAACUCAAAUGGACUAUUACAAAACAUGGUAGGAACUAGGAAGUAGGAAAAUGAAAUCCUUCUCCAUUUUGAUUAUCCCCCAUUUAACCAUUCCUAAAAUUAGAGACCAGAGAGUUAUCACAAAGCCAGUAUUAUUUCAUCUUAUUCUGUAGCAAAUCCCAUUAAUCUCCUCAAUCCAGGAAAGAAAGCAGAAGAAGAUAACUCAGAAGACGACCAUGACAGCUCCUUCUUCUUCUUCUUUUCCUGUAUAUGCUCUUCAAUCAAUUCCUCAACUGACCUAGAUGACAAUGGGUGAAAAUUGGCACCCCACUCAUCCACAAACCCUUUAACCAACGCCGUCUUCUCGUCUUGAUUCAUUUCGUCCCAUCUCAUUUCCACCUCGUCUUCCUCCAAAUCCAAGAACUUGCAAAGCUCGCAGAACAGCAUUUCCCUACUCUUCUUCAUGGCAUCUUCUCGCUGUGUAACAUUGGUGUUUAUCCUGGACACUUGCUUCGCGAAAUCUGUGGCCAGAUUUGAAUUUUCGGCUGCGCUCUUUUUCGUGCUUGCGCACAGGAUUCGGGUUCUUCUGGGUCUGCUGUUGUAGGGGAACUGGGUAGCCCUGGGAAUGGCGAAAGUUUGGAUCUUUACUGGUUGGAAGAGAGGGGUUGGAAGAGAUUGAUGGAUUCGAGAAGCCAUGUUUGAGAUUUUGGUUAUCGGGAAAGGAAAAAGGAUAUAUUUUAUUUUUGGAUGAGGGAAGACUAUGUCAAUUUGAUUGAUUGAAUCGGAUAAAAUCUAACGUACUCGUCAAAUCUAACCUGAGAACUCAAGUCCAAAUCACGCGUCUUCUUACUCAUUUGAACCAAGGAACAAAUAGGCACAAGGGCAAAGUUGUCACAUAAAAGUGAAGCAAUCCCGCGGCCUAGCUUUCCUCGCAACCAUCAACACGGCAUAAACCUCAAAGACCGACCCACAUAGACUAAACUACGAAACAAUUAGUUCAAACGACCGAAAAAUAAAAGUGAGGAAAAUUAUCCAAAUCCAGCAAAUCCACGUUUUGUAGGUGGAUAGUUUUCCACAUCCCAUAAAGGAGCCAAAUGAAACCAAAGAUUUGUAUUCAAUUUUGAAUUAGAGAAGUUAAAAAUAACGAAUUAACUGCGACUAAACCCCUAGUCUUUCAAGUUAAUGAUGCGGGUUCGAUUCCCGUUAUUCGCUAUAUAUUUACUUAAACUAAUUUAAGUAGCGUAUAAUAGUUUUUAAACGAAGUUAGGUAGUUCAUCAUUCGCAUGUAAUUAAAUAUACAAUUGAAUUCCUGAAGAUAUCUUAUUUAGAAGGUAUUUUUCAUAUUUUCUUUUUAUGACCACGAAAGAGAUCAUAAUAAAAUUGGAAACAUCUCUCGCAUAGAUAUAAAUAUCGAUAUAUAUCUAUAAUUCUUUUUUUUAUUUUUUUAUUCUAUUUUAUUGAAAUAGUUUUUUCAAAUAUUAUUGUUUAACUAUUCUAAUAAUGAGUAUUUUUUUUUAUUUAAUUAUUUAUUCCAAUAGAUUCCAAUUCUAAGAAAUUUUGUUCUUUAAAAAAAAAUGAAAUAAGGAUCCAUUUCCUUAUGCUUGUUCUUGAAGCAAAAAGCGUUCCGUCUGUUCCUGAAUAACUUCUUUCAAAAGGACUUUCAUUUCGUCGGUGAAUGUUUUGGUAGAAGAGAUUAUUUCGCGAAACUGAGGUUUAUUGUUUUUUAUGUACUUCCGUAAGUCCUCGAGAAAUUUCUUAUUCAAUUUUUAAUGAAUCAAAAUAACCAUUCGUUCCGAUAAAAAUAGUCAUUAUUUGUUCCUCGAUCGUGAGAGACGACGAUUGAGAUUGUUUAAGCAACUCACGUAAUCGUCGACCUCUUGCCAAUUGAUUAUGCGUACUUUUAUCGACAUCUAAGGCAAAUAUCACAAAGACUUUUAAUUCUACGCAUUGUGCCAAUUCAAACUUUAAUUUACCAGCUACUUAUUUCAUAGCUUUAAUUUGAGCUGCGGAUCUAACUCGAGAAACUAAAAUACCCACAUUAAUAGCAGACCGUGUUUCAAUAUUGAAUAAAUCGGCGGAUAAAAUUUUUUUUCCAUUUGUAAUAGAAAUUACAUUAUAAGGAGUAUAAGCUGAAAAGUCUUAUGAUUGUGUCUCGACUAUUGGUAAAGCAAGCAUGCUUCCUUCACCUAAGCGAGAACUUAAUUUAGCAGUUCUUUCCAAAAGGCGCGAAUGCAAAUAAAAAAUAUCUCCUGGAUAAGCUUCCCGGCCGGGUGGUCGUCGUAAUAAAAGAGACAUUUGACGAUAAGCCUGCGCUUGUUUAGAGAGAUUAUCAUAAAUGAUUAAAGUGUGUCGUUCACUGUACCUAAAAUAUUUGGACAGAGCCGCUCAUGUAUAAGGAAUCAUAUAUUGUAAUUUAGCCGAAAAAUCCGCCAUUUCAGCUACUAUAAUAGUGUACUCCAUUUCCCCUCUUUUUUGUAAAGCAACAAAUACCUGAGCCACGGAAGAUGCUUUUGACCAAUAGCUACAUAAGCACAAAUUACAUUUUGUCCUUGUUGGUUUAGAAUUGUAUCCGUGGCUAUGACUGUGUUUACCGGGUCUGUCUAUUCCCAAUAAUUAAUUCUCGUUAAUAGCGCCUUAUAGGAUCAUCGAAUCAAUAGCAAUAAAGCAUGUUUGGAGAGGCUCAUAUAUCGAACGUCUCAAAAUAAUCGGGCCUGGGAGAUUCAAUUAAGCGAGAAUCAGAAGCGGGAAUUUUACCUCGACCAUCAAUAGGUUUAGCUAGAGCAUUUAUAACACGACCCAAAAAAGCCUCACUCGCGGGUAUCUGAGCAAUUUUUCCUGUUGCUUUUGCAGAGUUUCCCUCUUGUAUCAUUAAACCAUCAUCCAUUAAUACAACACCAACAUUCUUUGCUUCUAGAUUCAAGGCAAUACUGAUUGUACCCUCUUCAAAUUCUACUAAUUCACCUGACAUAACGUCAUAAAAACAAAAAAUACGAGCAAUGCCAUCACUUAUUUGAAGUAAGCUACCGAUAUUGACUACCUUUAUUUUGCUUUUAUAUUCUUGAAUAUGUUUACAGAUAAUAUUAUUAAUCUCACCAGUUUGAAUAGUUACCACACGUAUUUUUUAAAUUUUUUGAAAAUAAUCCCCCUAGUAAAAGAAACAUCAAAGGAAGGUCCUAAUCCUUUCUUUCUUUCAUCACUCUGAACUAUUCAACAGUCAUUAGUCAAAAAACUAUUGUGUUUCUAAAGCUCCUUGUAAGGCCCGUUGGCGGACUUGAGUAAUCGUUGUUUGUUGUUCAAAAUGAAUGGUUUCAUUUUUGUAAUUUUCUAAUUGGUCCAAAGUCUUAGAAGUUGAAUGAAUCAAAUUCACCUUUUCUUGUUCUAUCUCCGAGUUACCUUUUCUUAUUCUAUCUCCGAGUAUCCCUUUGAUUGAUACUGAUCCGCCUUCAUUUCUAAUUUUCGUAAGCACACCUGGGUUUUUUUGAGCUGCUCAAUUACCCCCUGCAAUUCUUCCGAAAUACUAAUAGUAAUCAAAAUUCUUUGUUUACGAAUUUCUAAUAAAUCACUUAAUGAAAAUAGAUUAUAUUGCCAUUCAUUACAAAAUUUUCAUAACCCCUUCCCAAACCAAACAUGAAUCUUUCGAUUCAUUUGGCUCUCACGCUCAAUUUUUUCAAUUUCUUAUGAGAAAUUCCCACAUUUUUUUGACUGGAAUGAGCCUAUCCUCUUUUCUCAUAUUUUUUUGACUGGAAUGAGGUUAUUCUCUUUUCCCUAGUUCGAAUUAAUAGUAAAAAAUCUAGUAAUAGUAAUAAAACAUAAUAGAAACUAACUAGAUCAAAAAAAUAUUGAACCAACUCACUAAUGGAAAACCAAAAUAUUUAGAGAAUUCUUCUAAUCAAACAAAUGAUUGUCAGUAAAGUUGUGUUUUUUCUUGACGGAAUUCGUGAAAAAAAAGAGAACAAAAUAACAUUUUUUUUCUUCUAGGAUUAAACAAAAGAAUUCGUAAAUAAAAGGGCUAAUGCUACAACCAGCCCAUAAAUUGUUAAAACUUCCAUAAAGGCCAAACUAAGCAAUAAAAUACCCUGUAUUUUCCCCUCCGCCUUGGGUUGUCGUGAUACCUUCUACAGCUUGUCCUGCAGCAGUGCCUUGACCGACCCUCGAUCCAAUAGAAACAAGCCCAACAGCCAAUCCAGCAGCAAUAAUGGAAGCAGCAAAAAUGAAUGGAUUUAUGAUAAGUUCCUCGUACAAAAAAAAUAUAGUUGAUGAUACUUCGAUAAAUUAUGACUUAAUUAUUUCAUUAAUUUUUUUUUCACCCAGCCGAAGUAAGCAAGAACUCCUAAUUGAAGUGAUAACAUUAUUGAAUCAUCAAAAUUAUUUCGAUAUCUAUUUUUUUAAUUCAUAUAAUGGGGGUUUUAUGAAUUUAUACACUUUUUUUGUUCCAAACCUUUUUUGAAUUCGAACUCUUUGCCUUUUUAGUGAUUGAAUCCUUUUUAGUUAAUAUGAAUAUUUAAUUCACAGUUAAAAACGAAAAAGGGCUAUUAGUGAAAUCCUUAUCUAAAAAUUCAAUAAGCAUAUAUAUAGUAUACUGGAUUCAAUAUAUCUUUUAGUUCAUAGAAAACUAAUUAAUACCUAAUAUUCCAUAUACAUGCCUUUCGUGCCGAAUCUAAAUCAACUAUUCCUAUCUUAGAUUCCACCAGGUUCGAAAAUGAUUUCUCUAAACAUGCACAAAACACAAAACAAAGCAUUGAAUAAACUCAAUUGAAAUGACCCCUUUUAUAAAAUUUGGAAUCAUACCACUUCAAGAAAUAAAAAAAUUUUAUUCAAAUUCUGACUUCUAAAAUUGUUAUUAAAUGAAAUGAAAAGAAAGGGGUUACAAAAUUAGUGAAACAAAUCUUAAAAGAAAAGAUCUUUUCGAUCUCUUUUAUUUUUGCAACGCAUAUUGGAAUCCCUUUGACUGUAACCGGUUCUUCAUCCUUACCGAUAAUCCUUUUUAAAGAAAAAAGAAAAUACUCCGCGGUUGAUCUAGUUGUGUAGCUAUUAAGUUUUUGUUUCCCCUGAUGCGCUAGGGAGUUCAACACAUGGUGGAUCCAAAUCAACAAUGCAACCGAAGCUUCUCCAGAAGCAGCUCCCGUAUCUGCUCUUCGUCUCCCUCAUCCUCCUGUAUCUUUAUUCUUUCGCUCUCCGCCCUUACUCCUCCAAAUCCAAUUCCCUAAUUUCAUCAUCUGUGCCGUCCUGCAAUCUCUUCAAUGGAAGCUGGGUUCUACGCCCCACCAGUCCCAGACCUCUCUACGACGACUCCUGCCCAUUUCACAGAAACGCUUGGAACUGCAUUAGGAACCAGAGAGACAACAUGGAUCUCAUAAAUUCUUGGAAAUGGGUGCCGCAAGAUUGUGAAUUGCCUCGAAUCGACCCGGAGAGAUUUCUAGGUUUCAUGAGGAAUAAGAAGAUUGGGUUUAUCGGGGAUUCUUUGAAUGAGAACUUUCUGGUGUCAUUUUUAUGCACUCUACGAGAAGCUGACAACGGUGCCAGGAAGUGGAAGAAGAAGGGAGCUUGGAGAGGGGCUUAUUUCCCCAAGUUCAAUGUUGUUGUUGCUUAUCACCGUUCAGUGCUGCUUGCUAAAUAUAAGUGAGUUCCAUUCCACUCUUUUUUUCGUCUAAUCGUACUUGAUUAUGAGUUCUGGAACCAUUUGCAGUUGAGUUGUCUCAUUUGGUGUUAUAUGUCAAAAGCUUACUAUUAUUGUAUAAAGGAUCGCGUUUUAUUAUUACCUUCAUGCUGAUUUUCUUAAGCUCAACUGUCUACUUAAUGCAUUUGUGAUCUUUUAACCUAUGCAAUCUGGUUUGGCCAUUGGUGUUGUUUCUUAAUACAUUUGUGAUAUAACCCUGGUGAAACUGAUUGAUGUCGCCCUAGUAGUAAUGGAGUGUGAGAAAUAUUUAACCCUGGUAGUAAUGGAAGAUGUAAAAAUCCGUGGAAAAUUGUUUUAGAAGUUUAGGCAGUAAAUUCUGUAAAUAUUGGGUUGCAGAGCAUUCCCCAAUUAAAUCAAAGGGUAUCACUUAUAAUUGAGGAGGGAAAGGAAGUGAUUGGCUCAAUCGACCAAAAAAUUUAAAAACUUAGUUUGCAUGUGAUUGAUAAACUCCAAGAAGGCCGACUGUGGUGGUUACUUCUCAUUUUCCAGGGGACUGGCUGAAAGUAGCUGUUUAUGAUUUGUUGUUGGAGGAGGAAAUUCUUUGUUUCGUGAAAGUCUGAAGUUAGAAGCAUAGUGGAAGGACUAGUUCUGUCUUCUUUAUGUUCACCCAAUUUGUAAAGUUUUUGGGUUCUCUUCAGAGUUCGUGUUUAAUACUAGUUGGUAGGAUCUUGAUCCAAUUUAGUUAGUUUGCAGGUUCUGAAAUGGCUUCAGUAUUGUUAGUGCUGUUAUACAUUGGGGAAUCUUCUAUAACUUCCCCAGAAAGCAAGACAUUCACUUACUGUGCUUCCCAUGUUUCACUUGUAAACUUUGAUGUCCUCACUUGUUCAGAACUGAUUCAUUUAAGGUGGCAGCCAGAGAGAUAUGAAAUUGACCAAUGAAGGAGUGAAGGGGACACAUCGAAUAGAUGUUGAUGUACCUGGAGAUGAGUGGGUCAACACUACUGCCUUUUAUGAUGUCCUGAUUUUCAACACAGGCCAUUGGUAAUUUCCUUGUCCUUGAUGCAAAUUUAAGACAAGUUAGUGCCUGGUUCGUAUUAUAAUGUUUUACUCCCACCGUUUUCCCUUUCGUGUUUUUGUAUGUCCUUGAUCCCUUGUGAUCAUUCUUGUGAUAAAAAAUACUUAGUCUCCUUGGGACUUUUUGUAGGUGGAGUUAUGCUAAAUUUCCACAAGAGGCACCUUUGGUGUUUUACCGUAAAGGGAAGCCGAUAUAUCCCCCUCUUGGGUUGUUUGAUGGAUUGAAAAUAGUUCUUGAGAACAUGGUGGCAUAUAUUGAAAAACAAGUUCCAAAGAAGACAGUCAAGUUUUGGCGACUACAAUCACCACGACAUUUUUAUGGCGGUGAAUGGAAUCAGAAUGGAAGCUGCUUGUUCAAGGAGCCCCUCAAGGAAAAUGAGGUACACUGUACGAUAUGACGGAAUCUUAAUUCCAUAUCCCAUUGCAUUGGUUAGCCUUUUCGUUGAAAAUGAUAGCAGUGUUGAUUCUUGUUCUAUGUUGUGAUGCUAUUUCCAGCUUGACCUCUGGUUUGAUCCCAGAAACAAUGGAGUGAACAAGGAAGCAAGACAAAUCAACCGGUUUAUCGAGGACACAUUACAAGGAUCAGAUAUCAAGUUGCUGGAUUUGACACAUCUCAGCGAGUUCAGAGCUGAUGCCCACCCUGCAAUUUGGUUAGGGAAGAAAGGUGCUGUGGAGAUCUGGGGUCAAGACUGCAUGCAUUGGUGCCUGCCUGGUGUCCCAGACACUUGGGUUGAUAUAUUAUCGAAGCUGAUAUAUGAUAAGCUGGAAGCAGCAGAAGUACGAUGAAGUGACUGGAAACUGAGCCACAAUGCCGCACUGUUGCUGAAAUAGCUGAGGAAAACAGAUCCAUGUUUUGGUCUAGGAUCUAGAGAGAGCUCAUUGUUGGAAUGAAGGUAGUGAAUUUGUUGAUUCGGGUUCACUUUCCCUUUGUUAUCUUCAGAGUAGAAAUGGUAGGUGGAUGAACUGAACUAUUUUUCUGAAAGUUCCUAGGAUUUGGCACUAAGCAAAGAUGUUCAAUUUAACAUGGUUUUUAUUUGCUGCACACGUUUAACUGUUAGGUUGUAUAAUAGGCUGUGUUUAUUUUGUCUAUCAAGAAACAAGUGGAAGAAGGUAGACUUAUGUAGCGUAUAUAAGGUACUGAUGAACUCUUUAUCAAUUUCUGGCAAAUUCAAUGUCCUUGAAUACUUUCAAAUUUCAAUAGUUGAUCUGUUAGUCAAGUCUGCAGGGUAGUUGCUACCUGGUAGAUGAGUUGGAUAAGAACGACUGCGCAGAGAUUGCUGGUGAUAUUUGCAGUUGGUGGAGAUUGAUAUUCGACAGGGUCAUUCAUUCAUCUAAAACCCUCAACAGAAGACAAGCCAUAGCAUUUCCACUGUCAUAAACGUGGGUUCAGUCACCUCACCCAUUUCUGGCAUCAAUUAUUUCAUUAUUUGUCAGUCUUCCAUGUGAAUGACCUUUCAUUUCUCAUCUGUUUUGAAUCAUACGUCAUGGUUAGUGCAGAUAACUGUUGUGACCUUUUAACCAUGACUACUUUUUUUAGUACCUUCAUUUUGUUCGUAGAUGCAAGUGGUAGAUAAAAUGGACAGUAAGUGCAUAAACUAAAGAGAGACAGUAAUUUCCCAGGCAAUGAAUUUAUAUGAUUCUUUCUGAUUCAUGUAUUAAGUAGUGGAGAAACUUUUUACAGUUGAUUCAUGUACAAGUAUGACUAUGAUACUAUCACAGGUUGUAGUUAUUGAGAAUGGAUGCUCUUGUUCUAAUCAAACGCCUAAACAGGGAUUCAACACCAACUUCAAGAUCUUGAAUACACAGCUGCAGGUUCUUGAGAUGAACCGGAACCUCCUCGUUUGAUUUGUUCGACUUCAAAGAGGCAUCCACCUCUGCAAAUUCAUUUGGAUUUGCUUCAUCUUGACUUGUUACCCUUCUCUGGACAGCCACAAGCUUAGAAACUAAUGAUCGGGUCUUGCUUGAUUUGGAGUUCGAUUGUGAGAUGAACGACAACAAGCACUCCAACACCGCAACAACAACGGAUUCAGCCUCUCUUAACAUGGUAAUCGCCUCAAUGUUGUUGUCGGCUGAAGAAACCGAUUUCUUGCUCUCCAUACCCUUCAACACAUUCUGAAUUGUUUUCUUGAUAGUCUUUCUAGAGUUGAGGUACCUCAUGGUCGCUUCUCCUUCCAACCCCCCUUGUUGCCUUCUUCGGAUAACGGAUUGAAGUUCUGCGACAGAGUCCUUCAUCUGUGACAAAGCAUCCUUGGCAGUGUUACACAAAUCCAAGAGACUAAGAGAUCCAUCUAACAGCUCAUUGAAGCACUUCUGCAAUGCUUGUUGUGUAAGUGGAAGUUUUAGUAAGCUGUCAACACAAUCAUACAGAACCUCGAGUUGAUUCAGGUUCUGGCCUAUGGAAGAUGAUGUGGAUGCAGAAGCUUGAGAUUGUCUCAAGUUGCAAACUUGGUCAUCAAUUUCUGAAACUAGAGGGUGUGAAAUGACAGGUACACUGUUGGAUCGAGCAUGGGAAGGUACUGCCGUCAUUUUUGUUGGUUAGAGGAUGUGGGGAAGAGCUUUUUGAAGUUCUGAGAGAGAGAUGAAUGGGAAAUCUGCUGUGCCCUUCCAUGGCGUCUAUAACAGGUUUAUAUAGGUGGUAAGGUGAAUGCAGAAAGAGGAAUCAAAGCAUAUUUAAUAUAGUUUCGCCAUGUGCAUGUGUGGUUCAUGGUUAUGAUGGUUUGAGAUCAGGAGACAAACGAAUCAUAACAGUGGGUCUAUGCAAUGUCCCCUGCCAUACAAAUGCUCCAACUCAUUGCCUUUAAUAUUCUUCCAUGGAUUGGACAUUUGAUGAAUUAAAUACAGUUCUGGAACAGUGAUGAUUCAUGAAUGGAGGGGAAGGUACAUAUCUUUGUACUUACUCAUUUUAAAUGUUGAGUGUCGUGUUUGUAUGUCUCAGGUCUCCCUCUGCUGUUGUCCGAUUAUUAUAAUUAGGAUCCUGAUGAUUAGAUUAGAUUGGGGUUCCUUUGCAGUCGCGGGGGUUAAUUGGUUUAAUUAUGACUGAAAUUUGUGGGAGCUGUUAGGUUUAGAGGUAUAUUAAUUAAUUAAUCAAUGUUGUAUACAUCAGUUCAUUCAGUUGUGUGGUGCCUGCCUAGCUCCCAGCUCCAGACCUCACCAGAUAAUUUUACAAUCGGAAGCAGCAUAAAUCCCUCAUCUUCCUUGUAUGAUAAUGCAUGCUAGCAGUUAGCAAUUGACGGGCACCGGGUCUCUCAGUAUCCGUUUAAAGCGGUUAACAGCCGGGAUGGAUUUUAAUACUAUCCACCCGAUGGGUAGCCGCUGUAUAUAUUAUGUAAUUUAAUUACAUAUAUAUCAACCAACGCGUUUUUCAAAGCCUAUUCAAAAUAUUUUGAUUAUAUGGUUCAUUAUUUAUGUUUGAUUUAUUUUAUAGUUAAUUUGUUAUUGAAUAUGACCUUUUUUUAUACCUUUAUGAGCUAUUAUAUUCAGAUCAUUCUACAAUCUAAAAAUCGAAAAAUACUUUAUUGACUCUCUUGAAUUAGUAAUUAUUUCAAGAGUCGAGGAUUACCCUACUAAACGGGUAAACCCGAAACCCGCAAACUAAUAGAUAUAAUUUAAAAAAUUAUACUCGCUUGUGGAAACGGGUAGGUAUACGAGUAAAACCCAAUAACUAAAAAAGCGAAUAAUAUAUAUACCAAAUCCGUCCCAAUACCUACUUAUUGUCAUCCUUAAGAUAACUAUUAUUACCGCCGUAUUAAUCUACAGUUUUGAAUCAAUAAUGUGGGGAUUCAAAACCUUUGGGUUCCAAAAGAAUUGACGUAUUGCCACCAAAAUUGGUGCCCUAUAAAGAAUCCCAACUACCAAAAGUCCAAAACCAAAAGAAACCCAUUACUUUAUUAUUUUCAAAGCUAAUGUUUGAGCUUGUCUUUCUGGUCAGUCCUCGUCGUGAAUUAGUUUACGUUCUUUUAGGGCAAACAAAACAAAAUUAAAUUAGCAUUGCAAAAGUAUCGUCACGACUCCAUCAUCUACAAUUUUCCACACACGUCCAAAUCGUACCAGGUCUCAAAUUAAAUUAAUUACUAUGGAACUCACUCCCCCAUCCACGUUCGGUAUCAGGUUGGUACUUUGCCCAUUGCAACUUAACAAGUAAACUCUUCGGUUUGUCUUUCGUUAAAAUGUGUCAGAUCAACAUGUCACGCCAGCUUCGGUUGGUACAUUUCCAUCCAAUCCAUUCUCCACGUACACUUCUUCAUUCCAUUCAUACACAGAAAAUUAUAUACUAAUUAGUCACCUUGUGGACAAAAACCCAUUGUGGAACAAGACUGAAUAGAAGAAACCCUAGGUAACGUUAAUCAUUCCCCGUGAUGGAUGCCGGAUGAUUACCAUUUCUACCCCUAUAAAAUAACCCUUAUCAAAACCCUCAAUUCCAUUCCUAACAUAUCUUUAUUUUCAUUUCCUUCCCAAAAAAACAUGGCACCCUCAGUACCCCUUUUCAUUGCAAUUGUAUGUUUUGCAACACUAGCAUUCCCCUCAUCCGCACAAGACUCACAACAAGACUACCUCGACGGCCACAACCAGGCCCGCUCCGUGGUUGGAGUGGACCCCGUAACAUGGAAUGAGACUCUGUCGUCCUACGCACAGAACUACGCACAGAGCUACGCAAGCCAAAGGCCGGCAGGAGCCUGCAGCCUCGCCCACUCCGGUGGUCCCUACGGGGAGAACAUAGCCGGGAGCAAUGGAGAGCUGUCCGGGAAGGAUUCGGUGGCGAUGUGGGUGAAUGAGAAGGCAUAUUACGACUACGACACCAACACGUGCGCCCAAGACGAGCAAUGCGGCCAUUACACACAGGUCGUAUGGAAGACCACCACCAGCAUUGGAUGCGCUAAGGCCGCUUGCAGCGGCGGCGACCAGGGUACUUUCGUCAUUUGCAGCUAUUCUCCUCCUGGUAAUUACCUUGGCCAGAAACCUUACUAGUGACCAGCGGGUGUACUAGCCAGAUAGCUAAUUAAAUAAAGGGGUUAGUGCAUUAUAUUUGGAUGGUUCUGCCUUUUAUUCUUCACGUAUUGUAUCAGUUUGUGAAGAGCUAUAUAAUAUAAUAUAUGCUGCCUAAUAGUGUUGCAUUAUAUCUAAUUACCAAUAGUUUGCAUGUAAUAUGCUUUCAACAGAUUCUAAUAAGAUCUUCACGUUUUUCUUUAUAUUAUCUUACUUGAGGGGAAAAAAGCAAUACGCUUUCAAUAUACCUUUUCCAAUUCUACCCAAAAAUAAAUAAAAUAAUAACUUCGUUUUUGAUGAAAUAAAAUGAGAUUUACCGAAAACUUAGAUUCAAGAACUACCCUUAUUAAUUGAUUCAAGAACAAAUCCUGUCCGGCUCAUUCAAUACACAAACUUGAUCAAAUGGGCAGACAUAACAUUGUAGUAAAAGCGUAAACAAAAUAUAUCCUAAGUUCGUGCACACUCUCGGGAACCGACUUGCACAGAGUUUGUUACUUUUGAACUAGGGCCAAGGUAGUCUAUUAUCACAAUAAAAAUAAAGAAGAUGGUUAAAAUUGUAAUUCUACGUGGAAGCAGAUGCGUGAUAGAGAUGCACCCAAACGUGCUCUGAUAUCACUUUGAGGAUCGGAAUCGAUAACUAAAGCAAAUUGAUAGGAAUAAGAAUCACAAACGAACUAUUUGCAACCCUAAUCACCGCUUGCAUGUAAGUAAAUUGGCACAGGAACUGUUCAUGCAGUUCGUAAAAUCCAUACUCUGCGGAGCCUCAGUGGGGGAGACUCAGCCCGAAUCCACUAUCACAAAUCACUGAGAAGAGUACCAAAAGAACAGAGAGAACCCCCAGUACAAUUCGAAGAGCAUAACAAUGCAAUCAAUCAAUACAUAAGGAACACAAUCGAUAAACACUAGAGAGAAAUAAUAUUCCCUGAUCGGAGCAGCGAUAGAAGCUCCGAUUUAUAAUCCACCUCCCGCCAGUGAAGAAUCCUAGCAAGUUUGAGAGAUUUUCAGAUCCAGUUGAGAGAGAGAGAGAGAGGAAGGUGAACAGUUGAGAGAGGUAUCAACUUCUGAAGUCCACGCCAACACUUUCUUAGUAUUUAUACUAGACUUCCCAGAGUCCAAACAAACCGUUUCAAUUAAGUAUAGAUGUUGUGUUGACCAUCAUAACCUAUUUAACCCAAUCAAUUCAAAUUUAAUCCAGACUCGGAUUUGAAAUAAAGAUAAAAAACUCAACACUUGGAGCUAAUUUAACAAUAACAACCGAAACCGCAGAAAACAUGGUUACCAAAAGAAAAUCAUUACUUCUAAUUUUGUAUUUGCAAUGUCGUCCACAAUUACUUUUGUGGAUUUUUCAAAGUAACUUUAGCAGCCGCUCCGUGGAAGGAGUGGAAAAUUCAAAGUUAAUGUUUGAACUUGUCUUUUGGUUAGUCCUUCUUGUGAAUUAGUUACGUUCAAAUAAAGCAAAAUUAAUCACCAUUAAUCAACAAAAUGGUACUUAACCAUUCUACUACAUCAAAGUCAAUACAUAGCAUUCAAUUCUAUCUAUUCCACCUCCCCAAGCCAACUUAACCAGUAAACUCUUCCGUUUUCUCUAUAAUGAAAAGAAAUCUCACUAUUUUAAUAUAUUUUUAUUUUGGUAAGACAUCUAAAUUUGUUUUUUUAGUGAAGAAAUUUUUUCCAUAGUUAUAUAACACUAGAAAUAUCAUAUACGAUAAUGCUACAAGACUUAUUUGAAUUGAAACAUUUGUUUGUUCUAAAUUAAUUUGUAAAUACAACAUACGUUUGUUUGAAAAAAAAUACAUAUAUAAAAUCAAAUGACAAUUACAGAAUUUAGUAAAAUAGAAAACCAUCAAAAUUUAAGAGACAAUAUCCCGCACAUUAUCCCGAACAUGUACGAAUCCAAGAACACGUAUAUUACAUAUAGCUUAUAAUAAUAAUGGUUUUAUGAAACUAAACCCUUUUAUUGCACAAUAGUAACUCUCCCAUUGUUCUUUUUUAUAUAGAACAUUGAUAGUGCUAGGAUUUGUAGUAAUUAUCUACUUUUAUUUGCACGUUUUUUGAGUGAAUACUAGUUUGUUCGUGCUUCAUUUCUGUGUGGUUUCAUGUUUUGGCAUUAUGUGCCUAGACCCGUUCACUUGGACCGUUAUGGUCGAUUUGAUGUGUUUCUUUGUAUUAUUUUUUAUCCACAUGUACUCUAGAGAUGGAGAGUUUGAUUACGAGUCUCUGGAUAUGGAAUAGAGAGCACGAUUGGAGCUCGAACGGAAGAUCGGACGAAGAAAUGAUGAAGAAAAGGGAUUGCACGUCGUGCAGUCCUGAAAACCAAAAUAGGCUCGUGGCCAAAAUCGGGGAACGACAUACACCCAUGCACACCAUUCCUUCAUUUGUGAUACAUGAGAUUUUGAAGAUAAGGGGUACACGCGUGCACCCCCAGAUCUGCAGUUUUUCAUAUAAUAACCUGAUUUCGAGAAAAGAGAAUCAGACUUCCCCAAAUCGAAUUUCUUCGACUUUUUCACAACUUCUCCUCUGCAAAAACACCAUUCUCCAUCCCUAGAAGUCCAAUUGAAGAUCAAAAGGAGUCCCCAUCAAAGAUUAAAGUUAGGAUUGAAGAUAGAAGAUUAAAAGCGAUGACUGGAGUAAGAUCGAUUCAUCGUCUCCUCAUCAAGAUGAUGGUUAUGUCGAAUUCAGAUUUGUCUUCUCCUAGAAUCAUGAGUAGUUAGUUAUUUAGAGUUUCUUGGAUGAGAUGUAGGAUUUUAGUUAUGAUACUCUCCCUAAAAGUAUAGUGUUGACGAUUGUUGGAUAAUUGGUUUCAAAUGAAUGAUUGCUUUGAUUGUUGGGUUUUCAACCUAGUUCUUGUUACGACUUGAAUUAGGUCAAAUCUAUGAAAUCCUUUAUUUGAUAGAUUCUGGAAUUCAUUUGAUUAACAAUCUAAGAUAGAUGAAAGCGUUGUAGUCGUAAUCGGCCUUCUCCUCCGCCCACAGCUCCACCGCCCUCGUCCCGAACAGAUCUUCGCUGCACCACGCAAGGUUCUCUCCGUAGGGGCCGUCCGAAUGCUCCAGCUGGCAUCCACCCUCGGCCAGCUUCGUGGCGUAUCUGUUGGCGUACGCCGCUAGAAUGGGGCUCCAUACCAAGGGCCCCACCCUAUUUUCGGCCCGCACUUUGUUGUGGGCUGCGAGGAAGUCCUCGGGGGCGUCGUGGCCGAGUGUUGGGAUGAAGACCGAGAGAAUUAAGAGGAGGAGGAGGAGGGGAAUUGUGUUUUCAUUUUUAUACAUUUUUUUUUGUUUUUUUUUAAUUUCAGGAAAGUCUUCUGUAAUGAUGACUUCCCUGAGAAAAGUUUUGUGGAAGAAUUGAGAUUUCUGUUCUUGGGUAUAUAUAGCUAGUGACACGAUGAUGUGUUGAUAAAUAUGGGAUUGCUGUUGUCUGUGUUGAUCAUAAGGAUCACAAAUCCCCUAAGAAAUAUCUACCAAAGAGUAAAAAAUAAUAAAUCCUAAAAAAUACAUGUUUCUUUGAUUUGUGAUAUCUCAUUCACACUUUGUUACCAUUUCUGUAAUCUACCAGAAAUUGUGAGAGAGGUCCUGACGAUUGAUCGAAGAUUGGGGGUGAGAAUAUAGGUGUUUUUAUAUGAAAAUAAAAAUGUGUAAGAGAAGCUGAUUUUGAGUUCAUAAUUUUGAGUGCCAUAUUUGGAUGGAUUUUAUUAUUUGAAUGAGGGAGUGAAGACUGAAGACUGAUGUCGAGGAAAUUAAAGAAUCUGAAUUUCCUUAUUGGUACCAUUCUAAUAGAUCUUACCAUCAUUUGAUUUAUCUACAACAUUAAUUUUGAUUUAACGGGUAAAAAAGUAAUCUUUUGUUCUUCGAUAUUCAAAUAUUCUUUGAGAGGAUCCGAAAGAAAGAUCACUCACCCGACUGACCGUUCUAAAAUACCUCCUACUCAGGGAAACCAGCCCCCGUACCCGCCUUAACUUUAGGAGAUUAAGCAGGUAAAGUGAACCCGUAACUUUUUUACUUAGUAAAUAUCUUUUACAUACGAUAACAUCUCGGAUUUGAAGAAAUGAUUUCACGUCAAAAUCUUAGUUUUUCAAGUCGAUCAGCACAGCUGUGGUAGGAUUUCGACGAAUUUUUUUUGAAAGUCAAAUAUGUGAGUUGACUGCUUCAAAUUCGUACAAAUGUGUAUACAUUUUGUACAAACUCAUACGAACACCCAUAUAUAUACACACCCAUACAGACUGUCAUACAAAUACGCAUACACUAUGUACAAACUGGUACAAAUGUGUAUACACUUUGUACCACUGAUACAAACACCCAUACACACGCUCAUACUAAUGCAUGUACAAAUACUCAUACGAAGUGUACAAACCUCAUACAAGUUGUACGAACAAUGGUCGGAAUUUUAUUCUAGAACAAUAAAAAAAUUCCAGAACCGUAAAGCCGAUUACGGUGAUCACGUGGGUGAAAAAGAAUCCUCAACGGAGGUUGACACUGCCGGAAAAUUGAUCGAAAUUUUUUUUUGUGACCGGAGACAGUGGUCCAAUCGCCGGAAACGAUGGUUAGUGAUCUAAGCUAAUGGUCAGUAACAUAGAUGAUUGAGUUAUGUUUCAACAAAAUUAUGUAAAUACCACAUAAUCAUACUGUCCAUAAAUAAUUUACGACUUUAAAUCAUAUAUGGAUUUAAGGGACAAUCAAUAGUCCAUAUCUAUCUUAUUUAUAAAAAAGAAAUAGUCCAGAUCUAGCAUAGAAUGGUGCCGAUAAAAUGUGCUUAUUGCACCAGAAAACGGGAAUGAAAUUUUCGAGAAUAGUGUGUGUGCACGAACCUAUAAUCUCACAUUUUUACGCUUUUGCCACCAUGUUAUUUCUGGCCACCCGAUCAAGUUUGUGUAUUGGAUGGAUAAGAUUAGUUAUUAAAUCAAUCGAGAGGAGUAGUUCAUCGGUUCUUGAACCUAGUUUGGUUACCAUUACUCACUAAAAUACAAGGAAAAUAGUAUUAGGCAUACUGCCACACAUUAUUACGUGAAGAAUAAAAAGCAGAACCCAUGCACAUAUGCAUUAAGCAUGUGUUGUGGGAGUCGAGGUAGUCUUGUGGAGAGUCUUGUGCGGAUGAAGGGAAUGCUAGUGUUCCAAGUACUAAUGCGAUUGCUAUGACAAGGGGUACUGAGGGUGCCAUUGUGGUUUUGGGUAGUUUUUCUGAGAAGGAAAAGAUGAAUGAAUGUGGUGAGGAAUGGAAGACGGUUUAGGAUGGAUAGGGUUUUUCUAGAGGGGGUAGUAAACAGUACCCACUAGCCACUAGGGUUUGUUCUAUUCAUUUUUUCCACAAAGGGCUUUUUCCCACAAGGGGGAAAUGACGAGUGUGGAAAAUUCGUUUGAUGGAACGUUCAAUAAUGUUGAUGUUGCACCCUGGAGUCGUCACGAUACUUGUGUAAUACAUAAUACGAUUUUUUGCGUCUUGUAGACGUCAUUAAUUCACAAGAAGUUGAUAGAAAUUCGAAUGGAUUCUAUCCAAUUUAGUAUUUCGUCUGAACUCCGAUUGGUGUAAGGUCAGAGGCGUUGGAGAGAUAAUUCCAUUUUAUUUAUAUUAUCGGUCAUCAAAUUUGAAGAAUUCAAGGAGAUAUGCUCAAUUAAAGUGAACGGAUUGAAUACUAAAAUAUGUCUAUUUAAUAUUUCAUCUUUCUAGUUAAUUUAUGUUUUAAAUUUUAAUACCACAUUAUUUAGUUUAGAAGUUGUUAUUUGGGGGUUAAGUUUUGAAAGCCUAUAUAAAGAUUAGUUAUUUUGAAAAUGAAUGAACAACUUUCUUAUGAGGGAAACCCUAUCUUUUCUUGUCUUUGGUAUGCCUGCUAAUGUGGCGUUGAGCUUUUUUGUUUUUAGGACCGAUAAAUUGUAAUAUAGGUCGUGCUUAACUCUUCUAAUUAAUCUAUUUGAAUUUGGAUUAAAAACAAUAAUGAAAUAUAAUCAACUUGUAUUGUAGUAUAGUUGAUGACGAUAUUGACGACGAUAUGAAAAGACAAACUUAUACACCAUACGUGAAAAAUAAAGAAGCAGAAUGAUCCAUGCAUUACGGACUUUAUUUAAUUAGGCGCAUGGUGCCCGCCAUAAUAUUGUAGCUUCGUCUGUGGCUAAAACACCAACCACAUUCUAGUACACCAUCGUCAUUAGUAAGGUUUCUCGCCAACGUAAUUACCAGGAGGAUUGUAGCUGCAAAUGACGAAACUACUCUGGCCAUCGCCGCAUCCAGCCUUGGCACAUCCAAUACUCGUGCUCCUCCGCCAGACAACCUGCGUGUAAUGGCCGCAAACCUUGCCUU